CUCCUCGAGGUCUCCAUCAGGAAUUUGCAGCCUCUUGAUCACAACGGGUGAGAUCAAGUUCAGACCGCCCCCACCGUCAACCAGCAUCUUGUUCACCUUGAGGUUGCAUAUCGUUGGUGAAACCAACAACGAAAAACACCCGACCGCGGUUGUGCGAUCAGGGUGAUCCUCGGCGUCAAAGAUGAUGGGCGUGCUGGACCACUUCAGCGGUUUCUGAGCGUCGAACGAUGGCUCCGCUGCUGUGAUCUCACGCGCCCACUGCUUGAGCUGGCGGUGAGAAGUGUGUAGCGAGGCACCACCAUCGAUGCACAUGGCCUCCAUAGCCUUCUAAAACUCGUGCUCGCCGGACUCGUCGUCCUCGUCAUGAUCGUCGUCUUCCUGCUUCUUGUCGCGGCCCCGAGCGGGCCUCUCUUGCUGAUUAUCCUUGCCGCGGCGGCCUCCUUGGCCACCACACUUCUUCCCGGAUCCUUCGGCACCAUCCUGACCCUUCUCCUUGUCCCGCCUCUCAUACUCGGCUUUUUGCUUUUCAACAAGCAGCUCGACUUGUCGGCAGUUCUGGAGGUCGUGGCCCUUGGUGCGGUGGAUCUUGCAGUACUGCUUGUCGGAGCCUCCUGGCUUAUCGGCAGCCGCCAAGGCCUGGCAAGCGGCGCACCCGGCAAUCUCCUUGCCGGGGUCGUCUGCCUUGGCCUUCUUGGUAGCGCUGGUGUCGUCGGAUCCCUUGACGGCAAGCACGGUCUUGCCCUUACGUUUCCUGUUGCGACGCCGACCCUUCUUCAUCAGGGCGGCGGUGUCUUCGUCGUAGAGUUGGUUUCCGCGCCGGCGUCUUCGCCGGGGCACUUCCUCCCCUCUUCGGCCUGAGCACAUCUAUCGGCCAAAACGUAAAGUUCGGCCACAUGCUUGACCUUGUUCAUUGCUAGCUCUUCACGCAUCUUGCGGUUACGCACAUUCUGAUGGAAUGCGCUGAUCACGGCGGCGGGAUGAACAUCUGGGAUGUUGUAUUGCACUCGGCUAAACCUCUGUAUGUACUUGCGCAGGGUUUCACUUCCUUCUGGGGAAUGAUAUGCAAAUCACUCGCCUAGCCAUGAGCUUGGUGGCCUUUGGUGAAGGCACCAACGAACUCAUGACACAGAUCCGACCAAGAAGAAAUGGAAUCCGCCGGCAAGUGCAUCAACCAAGACAUGACAUUGGGUUUCAGGGCCAACGGGAAGUAAUUGGCAAGCACCUUGUCGUCACAAGCUCCAGCGGCUUGCAUCGCGAUGGUGUAGAUGCUGAGGAACUCUGAUGGAUGGGUCUUGCCAUUGUACUUCUCGCCGACAUCGGGCUUCAACGUGCGGUGGGACGGCCACUGGAACUGCCGCAUCUCACGGGUAAAGGCUGGGCAACCCACCUCGUAAGGUAGGCCGCCGGAGCCUCCCGGUGCUGGGUGGUCCCUAGCGGGCCCCGCCCGCUUAUCUGACUGGUGGCGUGUGUCGCGCCGGCGCUCGAUGGUGGUUCGAGCAUCUUCAUGGGCUCGCUCCCGAAGAACUUGGCGCUGAUCGCGGUGGCUCCAUGGGUCGGACGACGCUAUGGAAAUGUUAUCACAAGCGUCAUCACAAUGAACCGGCACCCGCGGUGGCUGGCGUGGAGGAGGAGAGUGCACCAUGGCUGCAGCACCUUCGGUCUUCCCACUGCUGGCGUGGGGUGGCUCGACGGAGCGUCGGCCCGAGGGCCCCGCCGGUCGCGGUUCAUCUUUGUUGGCGACAGCGACGAGGCUCCGGAUGGUGGCUCUCCAUUCGUCGAGCUUUUCCGCGGCCGGAGGGAAGUCGAGGAGCAGCUGCACGCGCGCCAAAGCUUCUGCUGAUGUGGGUGGCGGCGAAAGCUGCGUGGACCGUGACGCGCUCCGACAUCUAACCGCGUUAGAAGGAGCUCUAUCACGGCCUGGCGGUUGCGCGCCAUUUUCGCCAGCACUUCGGUGGGCAUGCUGGCCUCCUCCGUCCCGCGAAUGAUGCACGGGACUCUUCCCAUGGUGGCGUCCGGGGUCACCAGCGUGAUGACGUUGUUCGUCGCGCACACCCUGGGAAGAGCGCGUCGUGGGCGCCGGCGUAGGCAUCUUGGAGGCUGCUGCGCCGCCCGUAGGUGGCACGGCCCCACCCCUGGAGGGCCCCGCGCCACCUGCGGGGGGCCCAGCUCCGUCUUUGGAUUUGGCGGCGUGCGGCCCGUCGUUUCGCGCACGAACGACGCCGCUCCCCAGGCUCUGACUUCCAGGGCGAUGUUGGUGCUCGCGGGCCGUGGCUUGGGUUCUGUCCGCGACCGGCCCACUGCUCGCCCGCACUGGUACGGGCCGUUCGGCUCCCGACGAGACGAUCGCCGUGAUCGUCUUCUUCUUGGGAGCCAUGGCAAUGAGAAACUGCCAAACUACCUGCUAGACCAGAUUCUCACAACUGCGCCCCCCUACCUGGCGCGCCAAAGAUGUCGGGGGAAAUCGACACCUAUGGAAUCACUGGGAUCCCUUCUGCGGUUGGCGGGCGCGGGGUUGUGCAAAGAGCGGGUCCGACAGGAAGCACACGGAUCGUUUACCCAGGUUCGGGCUGCGAAGAUGCGUAAUACCCUAGUCCUGCUUUGGUGGAUGUAUUCGAGCGUUCUUGUGUUCUUGAGCUAGCUAUGGGGUGCAACUUGCCCAAAAGAUCUGAAUCCUCCUCCUGGUCGCCUCGGGCCUCCUUUUAUAGGCAAAAGGGGCUGCCAAAGUGGCACACAGGAGGCGGAAAGGUGUACAGUGGACGAGUCUAUCCUUUGGCGCCGUCGGACAAACGCAUUUAAUGCGCUGCCGACGUGACCCUCUCGCUUUAUCGGGGACGGCAAGGAAGCACAUCCCAGCUGUCGCCGCCUCGCCUGGCUUCGACGCGCGUCCGAGCUGACGAGGCGUCACGGCGCCACGUUGGCUGGCUGCUGGGCUGGCGCGGUGGUGGAGCCUUCACGAAGACCUGCAUGCCACCACGCAGAUGCUUGCUGUGUCAGUCAUGGAGGCCGCUCAUCGCCACGCAGGUGUCUGCUCAGCUGGUUGAGCUGGCAGCUGUAUGGGGACAGCGGUGGAGCCUUGGCAGACGCGAGCCUGGCCACAGCCCCGUCGGUGUUUUUGGCAAGGAUCUUGCCGGGGCCCCGGCAAGGGUCUUGCCGUGGCGUCGCUGUCUUCCCCGGCAAGCGUCUUGCCAGGGGUCUCGUGGACUUCUUCGGCUGGGAUCCCACCGAGGGUUGUCGUCUUCUGGUCCUCAUCUGAUCUUGUGUGUCUAUGAUCUUGACGAAGAUCUGCAUGCCACCACAGAGGUGCCACCCGAGCCUUGGUUCCAAUGUAGUUGGUUGGUGGUGUUUGGAACCCGCGGGCUCAAGGGUGGCUCGCUCCGCUGGUGUUGGGCAAGCUGCCCUGGCAAGGCUCUUGCCGGGGCCGCGGAGGCCGCCCCGGCAAGUGUCUUUCCCGGGGAGCCCGUCUUGCCCCUUUGCUCUUUAGCGCUUCAGGUCUUGGCGUUGCCUUGUUUGUCUUGUGCUUCAUUUUCCCUCCGGCUUCCCUCCUUUUCCCUGUUAAGUGUGGCCGCGGGCGUGGCUCUAACUGCCCGUGCACAAGUAAAGGGGUCAAAAGGAGAGCCCCUACUUUUGUACACCGACACCUACUCUCUUCAAGGACGCCCGUAAGUUUGUCUUGUCUUGUGAUGAAUGUCAAAGAAUUGGUAAUAUUAGUAGACGUCAAGGAAUGCCUAUGGACUAUUCACUUGUUAUUGAACCAUUUGAUGUUUGGGGCUUUGAUUAUAUGGGACUGUUUCCUUCCUCUAAUGGGUAUACACAUAUUUUAGCUGCUGUUGAUUACGUUACUAGGUGGGUAGAAGCUAUUCCAACUGGCAGUGCUGAUCAGAACACAUCUAUUAAGAUGCUUAAAGAAGUUAUUUUUCCGAGGUUUGGAGUCCCUAGAUACUUAAUGACUGAUGGUGGUUCACAUUUUAUUCAUGGUGCUUUUCGUAAGAUGCUUGCUAAGUAUGACGUUAAUCAUAGAAUUGCAUCUCCAUACCACCCACAAUCUAGUGGUCAAGUAGAACUGAGUAAUAGAGAGAUUAAAUUAAUUUUGCAAAAGACUGUUAAUAGAUCUAGAAAGAAUUGGUCCAAGAAACUUGAUGAUGCAUUAUGGGCCUAUAGAAAUGCAAAUAAAAAACCCAAAAUCCUAUGGGUAUGUCUCAGUAUAAAAUGGUUUACGGAAAAGCAUGUCACUUACCUCUCGAAUUAGAACAUAAGGCAUAUUGGGCCAUUAAAGAGCUCAAUUAUGAUUUCAAACUUGCCGGUGAGAAGAGACUAUUUGACAUUAGCUCACUUGAUGAGUGGAGAACCCAAGCCUAUGAGAAUGCCAAACUGUUUAAAGAAAAAGUUAAAAGAUGGCAUGACAAAAGGAUACAAAAGCGUGAGUUUAACGUAGGUGAUUAUGUUUUGCUAUACAACUCUCGUUUAAGAUUUUUUGCAGGAAAACUCCUCUAUAAAUGGGAAGGUCCUUACGUUAUCGGGGAGGUUUAUCGUUCCGGUGCCAUAAAAAUCAACAACUUCGAAGGCACAAAUCCAAAGGUGGUGAACGGUCAAAGAAUCAAACAUUAUAUCUCAGGCAAUCCCAUAAAUGUUGAAACCAAUGUUAUUGAUACUGUAACCCGGAGGAGUACAUAAGGGACACUUUCCAGAACGUUUCAGACUCCGAAAAGGAAUAGGUACGUGGUACGGUAAGUAAACCGACUCGAAAACAGUUCUAAUGGCAAUUUUGCUCCAUUUUGGAAUAUUUAAGAAAAUAGGAAAAUAAGAAGUAGUCCAAAAAGGACACGCGGCAUCCACGAGGGUGGAAGGCGCGCCCUCGCCCCCUGGGCGCGCCCCCUGCCUCGUGGGCACCUCGUGUGCUCUCCGGACUCCGUUUUCUUGCACGAUACUUCUUUUGGUUGGUAAAAGUUCAUUAUUUAAUCUCCCGAAGGUUUUGAAAUGAAUAUCCCCUGUUUUUGUUUUGAGCUAUUUUUCUGACAGAUCUAAAUCACCAUGACGUCUUCAAGUGCCCCCAAGGACAAGUUCUUCGAGAAGGUCAUCAACCCCUACCUCGCGGAGGUGCUGCAACACCCUCAAACCAUUGAGAUGCGUGAGGGGUUGCUGCACAUCCGCGAUGUUGAGGGACCAAGGAGGAGCGGAAGCACUGAGACAAGACUCAAAGCAAUGGAGCAACAAGUUUUCAAGUGCCAGGAGAUGGUGGAACGAGGACUCGACGCCAACCACAUGAUGAUCGCGGAUUUCACCAACAACCACAAGCUAGAUGCCAAGAACAUUGGGAAAACCAUCUUCAAGCUUCACGAGAAAAUCGAGCACCUCCAGGCCCAGAUCUAUGACCUGCAAAACCAAAACUGUGAGUAUGAAUAUAGAUUUAAGAGGAUGAGUUUGGCUGCAGAUUUGAGGAUCCCGGAGACCCGAUCAUCCUUUUAUGAUGGUGAGCCUAUGCCUUGGAAGAUGGACGACAAGCCUGCAUCAUCAACAACUCUAUCAUCACCACCUCCGAGGAAAGAGACAUAAAUACAUGGGUAUGGGCACUCCCCUUGGCAAUUGCCAAGCUUGGGGGAGGUGCCCCGGUAUCAUAUCACCAUCACACUUCUAUCUUUACCGUUUUUCUUAGUUCAAUCCUUUUGGUUAUAUCUUGAUCUAGUAGAAUAAAGUUUUAGUAUGAUCUAGGUUUGAGUUUUGUGUUGAUCCUUAUCUAUGUACUCGAGCCCGUGAGCUAUAUAUAAUAAAGAUUAGUCUUGAGUCGAGGGCUUGGUUAUCUUGCUAUGAUCUUGAGGGAAUAAUAGUAAAAGGAAAGAAUAAAAAGAAAUAAACAGAUCAUAUUGAUCUUAUGGAGAGUAAUGACUUCACAUAUAAAAGAGUAUGAUGAAUAAAAGUUGUUGAGAGUUGACAAACAUAGUUUGGAUCAUCGUUGCAAUUAAUAGGAAGUAAUAAAGAAAGAGAGGUUUUCACAUAUAAAUAUACUAUCUUGGACAUCUUUUAUGAUUGUGAGCACUCAUUAAAAUAUGACAUGCUAAAAAGUUGAUGUUGGACAAGGAAGACAACGUAAUGGGUUACGUUUUCUUAUAUCCGAAAUAAAGUAUAUUGUCAUGGAUCAUCCAACAUGUUGAGCUUGCCUUUCCCCCUCAUACUAGCCAAAUUCUCUGCACCAAGUAGAGAUACUACUUGUGCUUCCGAAUAUCCUUAAACCCAGUUUUGCCAUGAGAGUCCACCAUAUCUACCUAUGGAUUGAGUAAGAUCCUUCAAGUAAGUUGUCACUAUUGCAUGCAAUAAAAAUUGCUCUCUAAAUAUGUAUGAUCUAUUAGUGUGGAGAAAAUAAGCUUUAUACGAUCUUGAGAUAUGGAAGAAAUAAAAGCGAUGGACUGCAUAAUAAAGGUCCCUAUCACAAGUGGCAAUAUAAAGUGACGUUCUUUUGCAUUAAGAUUUUGUGCAUCCAACCAUAAAAGCACAUGACAACCUCUACUUCCCUCUGCGAAGGGCCUGCCUUUUAUUUUUGACUUAUGUCUUAUGCAAGAGUCGAGGUGAUCUUCACCUUUCCUUUUUACACUUUAUCCUUUGGCAAGCACAUUGUGUUGGAAAGAUCCUGAUAUAUAUAUAUAUAUAUAUAUAUCCAAUUGGAUGUAAGUUAUCAUAAACUAUUAUUGUUGACAUUACCCUUGAGGUAAAAGGUUGGGAGGCAACGCUAUAAGCCCCUACCUUUCUCUGUGUCCGAUUAAAACUCUAUACCCAUAAGUAUUGCGUGAGUGUUAGCAAUUGUAAAAGACUAAAUGAUAGUUGAGUAUGUGGACUUGCUGAAAAGCUCUUAUAUAGACUCUUUUAGAUGUUAUGAUAAAUUGCAAUUGCUUCAAUGACCGAGAUCAUAGUUUGUUAGUUUUCAAUGAAGUUUUUGAUUCAUACUUGACAUUGUGAAUAGAUUGUUACUUUACCAUAACAAAUCAUGUGGACAUUGUGAAUAGAAUGUAGGGCAUCUCGAGGCGGAACCUUGGCGGAACUAAUCUAGGGCUCCAGCGGAGCUGUUCUACCGGGGAAACAUCCCUCCGGGAGGGGGAAAUCAUCACCGUCGUCAUCACCAUCAAUCCUCUCAUCGGGAGGGGGUCAAUCUCCAUCAGCGUCUUCACCAGCACCAUCUCAUCUCAAACCCUAGUUCAUCUCUUGUAUUCAAUCUUUGUCUCAAAACCUCAAAUUGGUACCUGUGGGUUGCUGGUAGUGUUGAUUACUCCUUGUAGUUGAUGCUAGUUGGUUUAUUUGGUGGAAGAUCGUAUGUUCAGAUCCUUUAUGCAUAUUAAUACCCCUCUGAUUAUGAACAUGAAUAUGAUUUGUGAGUAGUUACGUUUGUUCCUGAGGACAUGGGAGAAGUCUUGUUAUAAGUAGUCAUGUGAAUUUGGUAUUCGUUCGAUAUUUUGAUGAGAUGUAUGUUGUCUUUCCUCUAGUGGUGUUAUGUGAACGUCGACUACAUGACACUUCACCAUUGUUUGGGCCUAGGGGAAGGCAUUGGGAAGUAAUAAGUAGAUGAUGGGUUCCUAGAGUGAUAGAAGCUUAAACCCUAGUUUAUGCGUUGCUUCGUAAGGGGCUGAAUUGGAUCCAUAUGUUUCAUGCUAUGGUUAGGUUUACCUUAAUACUUCUUUUGUAGUUGCGGAUGCUUGCAAGAGGGGUUAAUCAUAAGUGGGAUGCUUGUCCAAAGAAGGGAGGUACCCAAGCACCGGUCCACCCACAUAUCAAAUUAUCAAAGUAACGAACGCGAAUCAUAUGAGCAUGAUGAUAACUAGCUUGACGAUAAUUCCCAUGCAUCCUCGAGAGCGCUUUCCUUUAUAUAAGAGUUUGUCCAGGCUUGUCCUUCGCUACAAAAAGGAUUGGGCCACCUUGCUGCACCUUGUUUACUUUUGUUACUUGUUACCCGUUACAAAUUACCUUAUCGCAAAACUAUCUGUUGCCGAUAAUUUCAGUGCUUGCAGAGAAUACCUUACUGAAAACUACUUGUCAUUUCCUUCUGCUCCUCGUUGGGUUCACACUCUUACUUAUCGAAAGGACUACGAUAGAUCCCCUAUACUUGUGGGUCAUCAAUAUACAAGUGCUAUAUUUCCUAGUUCUUAAUCAUGCUUGGUUUGGAUAAAUGGGUUUUCCAUGUGGCUUGAAUUAAUCUGAUGAAUCUACAAUGUGCUUAUUUUUCAUCAACAUGUUUUACUGAUAGCAUGCGAACCCUUACUUAACCUGAUGACUAACUACCUUAUAUGUGUUGCAGGGAAACAAUGGGAAGCACUGAGGUUUACAAUCGAGGUUAGCACAUGCAUGGUCCGUUGUCUAAGAGCACAUUAUUGUGCAAUUGCAGGAACCAUUCUAAUAUUUAGGUUUUUAACAAUUUGGUCUUGCACAUGCAUGUCCUGCUGUCAGAGGUUUUGACCCAUGAAUAUGGGGAAAUGAGUUGUCCAUGAAUAUCACUCAAAUCAAGAAACUCAGAAAGAUUGUUAGGAUAAAGAAAUUAGCGACAAAAAACAACAAGAUCUUUGUCUGCACAAUGAGGAUGACAUAAGUUCACUACAAGAUGGUACUAACUAUUAUACCUUGCCUUUUUUAUUCCUUUGCCCUAUUUCCCAUAUAGAGAAGAUGUUUAUGCAUGUCCUUGUUUUCAUACCUUUCCAAAGCAGUUCACUGAUGAUUUCCUCUCAAACCACCUUUAUGGUCAGGAGGCGAGGAAGGUUUUCAUACAACACCCACGGUUCAAUAUUGAAGUGUUCCUGGAGAGGAUGAAGGACGGACGGUCAAUCAUCCACAUGCACUGGCCUAAAGUUGCAAAGACCUUCAACAUGAAUGAAGGCUCAAUAUUCGCCUUCCGCUUCAGCAGUUUUCCAGAUGAGAUGCAUCUGUCAAUAUACCGUCUAUGAUGCUAAUUUCGAAAGGUUCUACAUGUUGCAUGUGAAACUUGGUGCUGGUGCAGUUGUGUAAUGGGGUUGCUGAGUGCUGAAGCUAUAUCAUGUUGUACUCUGAUGUAUUUCAAUUAUGAAAUUUUGCUUCCUUAAUAUGGAAAUGAAAUAGAUUAUGCGCUUAAUGUGAAUGUCAACUAGAUUAAUAAAUGGAUUAUUAAUAAUAGGGCAAUUAGCCUGCUAAUUGGGUUUUGCUAUUGCAAAUGGUUAUUGAAUAAAUACCGUGGGUGAUGACCUCAGGCAACGCACACAGUUUUUAGGAAUAAACUGUGUUGGAUCAAUGAACAAUCACACACGACUUUCUCUAGAAAAUUGUUUGCGUUAGGCCACCUUGCGCAAACGUUUACCACAUAAAAACUGUGUGUGAUGGACAGCCUUUGCCACACAGUUUUUUCUACGGACCGUGUGUGAUGCAUUCAAUAACGCAAAUGAUUUAACGGGAAAAUUGUGUGUGAUGUACCUGUGAACGAAAACGUUUUCCUUGUAGCGACUGUGUGGGAUGUACAUACGAACGGAAACAUUUAGCGGGGACUGACUAUGUGGGAUGUACUUGCGACCGGAAACAGUUUCGCCUGUAUAAUUGUAUUUUUUAGCUCUACUGUACGUAUUUCCGUAUUUGAGCGCUCGCCGGUCGCACACACCUUAUUUUGCCGAGCGUGUGUGCCAGGAGGGCAUAUCCCCGACGGUUUCUGGGUCAUGUUGGAAGGACCCCCCUAUCCCCACACUCACUAGGCGACGGUUCCAAAUGUCGUCGCGAAAAGGUGUUAAAAACCGUUUGUAUAGCACCGACGCAUACUAGUGCAACCAGCUAUCUUCGUCCGCGCAAAAGCGGGUCAUAAGUGCGGUAAGAGCUGCCAUAGUCUUCGGAUUUUCCUGACCGAGGUGUCGGGCGAGCCAUUCGUCACGGACGUUGUGCUUAAAUACCGCUAGGGCUUCGGCAUCUGGACAGUCCACGAUUUGGUUCUUUUUAAUUAAGAACCGAUUCCAAAGUUUGCGAGCUGACUCUCCGGGUUGCUGGACUAUGUGACUCGGGUCAUCAUCAUCCGGUGGCCGGACAUAAGUGCCCUAAAAGUUGUCCCGAAAAGCAUCCUCUAAGUCUUCCCAACUUCCAAUUGAGUUCUCUGGGAGGUUGUUCAACCAGUGCCGUGUUGGUCCUUUCAGCUUUAGAGGGAGGUAUUUAAUGGCGUGGAGAUCAUCCCCAUGAGCCAUGUGAAUGUGGAGAAGAAAAUCUUCAAUCCAUAUGGCGGGAUUCGUCGUUCCAUCGCAUUGCUCGAUGUUCAUGGGUUUGAACCCCUCCAGAAAUUGGUGCUGCAUUACCUCAUCGGCAAAGCACAUGGGGUGUGUGGCACCUCUAUACCGGGCGACAUCGCGACGGAGUUCGGAUGACAUCUAUGUUCGGUGCUGACCCCGGACUUGGUUAGGUUUGUCGUGCCCGGCUUGAUGGUCGUCAUCUCAUGUGGGGGCACGUCCUCUUGAUCCAAAGAUGGAUCUGGUCUGGCCGGCUCUAUUGGUCAGGUCCUGACGUAGGUCGUACGUGUAGCCCGGAGCCGCUGCUUCCUUGCCUCUAUGACGAGGGGGCGCAGGCUCGUGUUCGGCAUAAUUAGCCGUUUUGUCCUGUCCACGUGGUGGUCGGUCCGGUUGAUCAGCGUGAUUGUAUUUUGAUGGUAUUGGCUCGAAGGCCUCGUCGUCGAAUUGUGGCAGUAGCAUGCGUUUGGGAUAACUCUUUGUUUGGCGCUCAAAGCCAUAUCCUUCUUCGGCGGCUAGGACCUUAGUCCAUCUGUCGUUGAGCGUAUCCUGUUCAGCUUUAAUCUGUUGUUGUUGCUUUUUCUGGCUCCGUGCAGUGGUGAUGACCCGUCGCUUGAAGCGUUCUUGUUCGAGGGGUUCCUUUGGCACCAUAAAAUUUUCGUUACCGAGGCUAACAUCCUCUUCAGAGACAGGUAAGUAGUUACUAUCUUCCGAAUCCUCGUGAUCGGCAAGUUCGUCGGGGUUGAAUUGACCCUCUUCCCUCUCGUCCUGCUCGAACGCAGGCUCAACGGGGUGGUCGGGGUCUUCGACGUUGUUCGGAGUGUCAUUAUCUCUGGUGUCGGUAAUGCUUUCCCUUCCCCCGACGCGAUCGUGAGCGGCGCCGUUGACGCCGGCGCUUUGGUGGUUCAUCGACGGGCUUAUCCUCAUCUGGAUCUUGAGUGCCAUCGUCGUCCUUCUUCUCAGGCGUGUCCACCAUGUACACAUCAUAAGUAGAAGUGGCCUUCCAACGCCCGGUGAUGGGCGGGUUUUGACCUGGUUCGGCUUCGACAUUGUCAUCCAUGCCAUCGAUGUCUUCGGAGGCAUAGUCUAGCAUGUCGGUUAAAUCCUCGACAGUUGCUACUAAAUGGGUGGUGGGUGGGACGUAAAAUUCCCUACUCUAGGCCCCCAGUUCAAGCUAGGCAUAGUUAGGAGGUGAUACUUCCGUGAUGGCGAGCGAUUUUAUUAAGUCCAGUGUUUCGUUUAAGAACGAGAGCUGGACAGGUGUCUGAGGAUCUGCGGAGCUAGGCUCAGCAAUAACCACUUGACCGAGCCUGGAGGACGCAGACCUCGAGAGUUCGGAGUUCGUGUCUAGAGGUGAGUCCGGUUUCCCGAUGACAGGGAGAGUCCCGUUUGACUCCGGGUCCGCCGAUGGCGUGGUCGCAUCUGGGUCUCCGGCUAGAGGCUCCGUGAGGGGAGAGAGUCCGGUGGGGUUCACCCUCCCGUCUUCGGAUGAAGUGGUCCGCCCCGGAUCUAAGGCCGAGGCGGACACGAGCGUCGACCCCUGGACGGGAUUUGAUAGUAGAUCCGAAGGGCCUCCUUCGUGUGGGUGGGGAGCGGCGGCCGAGGCCGUGAACCCCUCGAAGAUCAGGUCUCCUCGGAUAUCAGCGAUGUAGUUUAGACUUCCAAACCUGAUCUGGUGACCAGGGGCGUAGCUGUCGACCUGCUCAAGGUGAUCGGUCAAGUUCGCACGUAGCACGAAGCCGCCAAACACAAAGAGUUGACCAGGGAGAAAGGUCUUCCCAGAAACGGCGUCAUCGUCGAUGACGGGGCGAGCCAUUGAUUCUUCUAUCGACAACACAACAGAACUCUCAAUGAAAGCACCAAUGUCGGUGUCAAAACCGGCAGAUCUCGGGUAGGGGGUCCCAAGUUAUGUGUCUGAGGAUCAAUGGUAACAAGGGACAAUAGGGACACGAUGUUUACCCAGGUUCGGGCCCUCUUAAAGGAGGUAAAACACUACGUCCUGCUUGAUUAUAUUCGGUGUGUAUAAGAGUUACAAGAGUUGAUCUACCUCGAGAUCGUAAUGGCUAAACCCUAGCUGUCUAGCCUAUGAAUCUUUGUCCUUUCUACGGACCUAACCCUCCGGUUUAUAUACACAUCGGAGGGGCCUAGGGUUGUACAGAGUCGGUUUGCAGAGGAAGGAAAUAGUACAUCCGGACACCAAACUUGCCGUCCACUCACAUAGGAGUCCUACCCGGACAAGGGGGAUGAUCUUCUGCUUUGUUGUGGAGAAGAUCAUCCCCCUUGUCGUGGAGAAUAUAGACCGGACACCCGAGGACCGGACACCCGAGGACCCGCUAAUCCAACACUCCCUCAAUUGUCGUGGAGAACCUCCAUACCUCUAUUCACUACCUCUGGGGGAAACCCUAUAUCAGUCAAUCAGAUGACGACGACGCUCUUGUGUGGCUCCACUCUUGGGGGCGUUAUUUUUGGAUCUGUGCAUUGGCUUGAGGGACCAGUGGAUGGUUUCAAAAGUGAAGCGGCGUUUCAUGUGACGAAUCGACGAAGUGGCACUUUAGGGUUUCGAUGAUAGAUGCGUGAUGAUGGAUGCGCGUAGGGAGGUGGCAUUGACCGGUGUCGUGGUGGCAUCAAUGGCAUGCCUGGCAAGGUCGGUGCGUCGAUACUUGCUCUGAAGUGGAUCGGUGGAAGAAGGCGGCAGCGGCCUCUGCAGUGUGCGCAUGCGGUGCCCGCUGAGAGUGCGCUGGACCGGUGUGUGCCCAAACCCUACGAUUGCGGCUUGACUGAGGCCUCCUGUUUUAAAUGUUGGGCUUUGGUGUGAUGUCUGGGCACGCGGCCUGGACAAUACACACCCCAUCAUCAAGUUGAUUGGAUUAGGAAGGGAUAUUGUCAAGAUGAUGGCUUCAGAAUUAUUGAUGUAUUACUUUGUACAGUUUUGCUAAGUCUCAGUCGACUGAGACUGAGACUUCGUUAUGUCUUAGUCGAUGUUAUAUCCAUUUGAUCUUGCAUGGAGAUUCAUACAAAAAAUUUCUUUUUAUUUUCUUCUUCUUAUAUACUAUGUCAUUUGACUGAGACUUGAUUCAGUCUCGGUCGACCUAGACCUAGUCACAUCUUAUUUUUGUGAGGUAUUGAUGAAUAAUUAAUAAAAUGGAUGUAUGUACCACCCAGAUGCAGAGGCCGAAAGUCGACCUCCUUUUCGGAAAAAUAUCAACCUUCAAAAUAAUAGACUUGUGAAGAGUGAUGCCGAUAUAAAGCCCGACGAAACAGGCUCGAAGCUCGCCUUCGUUAACACCGGUACUUGCCCCAACAAAUAAAAUCCCAUGAAGCGAUGAUGACUUCUUCUGGAGAGCACCCUUGAUUGAUUUAGGUCCGGCUUACGAGAUUUCGGACGUCCGAACGGUCUGACCCGAUUCAGUGACCCGCAUCAGAGGCCCAAAAAUGAUCGGACGGCACGACCUGAACAUUCGCGGACGAUUUGAUGAUUCGACGUUGGAGAUGCCCCCCUGAUGAUGUGCAGUUAUCCCGAAUGCCUCCGUGCGGCAGAUGCUACUUGCGUGGUGAAUGUUUCGAAGAGCAAUGGCUCAUCUCUUCACGAUUCAAAAUGAGGCGGAGCUGAGGCGCCUGCGCGGCGACUCGUGGGCGACGGGCGUGCGACGGUCGGACCCCCCCUCGCCGGCGCUCCGACCGUCCCUCCGGCAGGCUCGGACUCCUCGCCCCGGCCUCCUCGCGGUGCUCCCAUGGGGACCCCCUNNNNNNNNNNNNNNNNNNNNNNNNNNNNNNNNNNNNNNNNNNNNNNNNNNNNNNNNNNNNNNNNNNNNNNNNNNNNNNNNNNNNNNNNNNNNNNNNNNNNNNNNNNNNNNNNNNNNNNNNNNNNNNNNNNNNNNNNNNNNNNNNNNNNNNNNNNNNNNNNNNNNNNNNNNNNNNNNNNNNNNNNNNNNNNNNNNNNNNNNNNNNNNNNNNNNNNNNNNNNNNNNNNNNNNNNNNGACAGCGAGCGCUGGGCCAAUUGGGCGGAGGAGGAGGACCUGGCCGAUGCGGCUGCGGCGGGUCUCCCUCUGCGAGGCCGUCGAUUUGGUGCUCGCCUGGCUGAGCUCAUCUCCGGUGAGCUGCUCCCCCUCUCUCAUCCGAGCGUCCCCCCUCCCUGCGCUGGUGCCACCCCGCCCCUCCCAUUCCCCACCUUCCCCGCCGCCGCCGCAGUUCGGCCCUCCGGCUGGUCGGCGCGGUCGCGGGGCCCGAGCCCGUGCUUGGGGGGUGGUCGGGAGGGCAGACCUCGGUCGUGCGGCAGUUUCUUGGCGUCGGGACGCUCCCUCGUCGUCGAGCUUGCUGCCCCCGCUUCCUUCGGUGGCUCCCUCUACGUCGGGGACGGCUUCGACCUCGCGUGGCUUGCCCAAAUUCCGCGCCUUUCUCCCCUCUCCAGCUCCGGCCGGCCCGGCUGCCGGCGUCCCGCGGGCGGAGCUGGCACCACGCUGCCACCCCCUGGCCGUACGAGGGGAAACCCUUCCCUCCCAUAGUGAUCCAUCGCGUAAUGGGUUGGGCCGCCUGGAGCGCCUUGGGCCUCUGGUGUCGGGGGGCUUUCCUCCUCUGGGCCGUGGGAUGGGCCUGGGCCUCGCCUCGUCUCCUCCUGGAGGCCUGGUCGAUCCUGCACAGGGGCCCGAGUCCUCCUCGUCUCUAGGGAAAGUGUGCACCCCUACCCUGCAUUCCUCCCCCCACCCCGCGCCCUCCCAUCCUGCGCCGCCCCCUGUUCCCCCUCCCGUGCCUGCGCCGUCCUUGCUCGUCGCUCGGACCCCGAUGCCACACGACGCGGGUGACAGUGCCCCUCGCCCGAAGCGCCGUGCCGACGAGCCGGCGGACCGUCGCCCGACCGACUCCUGGCGCCCCUCCCUGGAGGCCUCGCGGAGGGAAUCCGAGCUCCGCUCCGAGUUCGUGUCACGAGGCUUUGCCCCGACCUCGGACCCCUCAGGGCGGGAGGACAGGCCGCGUAACCGCUCGCCGGACCACUGGCGGAGCCGUGGGCGUGAGCGGGACCGCCGUUCCCCCCCUCGUCGCUCCCCUCCCCACCGGUCACAGUCUCCGGCUCGCUCUGGUCGCGCGGAGCAGUCCCCGCCUCGCCGGUACAACCCGCCACAGCGUCAUAUGCAGUUCCCUCCCCCGGGUCCCGGUGCUCCCAACCCCCGGAGCGCUUUCGCGAAGAAGAAGAAGAAGAAGGCCGGUCAGCGUUUUGGCGGUGGGGCUGGACAAGCCUCUUCUGUCACCAACCCGACGCCGGCACCCCCGGCCCCUCCGUCGAAGUCCAUUUCCGGCACCAUUUCCUGCUUCAAUUGUGGCAAAGAGGGUCACUGCCAGGUCGAUUGCAAGGACCCCCUGGCUUGUUUCAAGUGCAAGGGCACGGACCACCCCGUGAUUCUUUGCCCGCUUCAGCCGGAGGAGGGGGAGCUGAUGCUUUACGGCCAUGCUCUGGACGAUCUUGGAUUCUUCCAGAUGGAUCUGCCCGCGGUCGCGGCCGUGCCGUCCCUGACCGCUCUCAUCUCGGUCUUGGAAGGCCGGUCGGCUUCCCCGGCUAUCAUCACGGAGGAGCUCCGUCACCUCUUCUGCCCUGACUGGGACUGGGAGGUCGCUUCGAUCUCCGAUCACGAGUUUACCGCGGUGUUUCCGGAUCCUAUCAGCUUGCGCUACGGCACCCACAGUGAUCAGCUCACUUUAGCUCUCAACAAGCUCAUCGUCAGCAUCUCUAUGUCGUUGGUGGACCCUAUAGCGGUGGCCUUUCUCUCGGAGGUAUGGAUUCAAAUCCGUGGGCUACCGCCGAUUGCCAAGAAGGAGCGCACCAUUCGGAACAUGUCCAGGCUCCUUGGCAAGAUCGUGGAGGUUGAUGGCUCCUCUCUCGUCCGCGGACCGGCUGUUCAUGUCAAGAUCAAGACCCCCGACCCGACUAAGCUGCAGACAACAGUCCGUAUGUUCUUCGGAGAUGCUGGAUACGACCUCAAGAUCUCGGUGGAUGGGGGCGUUCCGGGCUCCUCCCAACCAGCGACGGAUGAUGCGGCUCCCGGGACCGAUGGCGACUUGGGUGGUGGCUCACGCUCCCCUGGUGGCGGUCGGUCACCGCGUCAGCGCAGCCGCUCCCCAAGCUCCAGCGGGGAUGAUGAUGACUCCCCAGAGCCACAUGCGCCGCCUCUGCCGGCGAACAAGACAACGACCGAAGAGCUCUCUAUGGCCCAUGAUGCUACUGCCCAAGAUCCGAUGGAUGAUGCUGAUGCUCGUGCCCUCAACGCCAUGCUCGAGGUUGAUUCACUGCUUCGCCCCAGCGCGGCCCUCUCCUUGCUCCUUGGCACUCCGAUGGCCGCUUCGGAGUCGGAGACGGUCAGCGGUGCGAGCGACGUCAGCCCGGAGGUAUGCCCCCUCCUCCCCGCGUCUGGAUUCACCCACCCUCGCCCAGGCACCAUCGCCACCAUCUUCGCCAUGGGCUGGGGCGGGGGAGGUCUCUCCUGUGACCGGGACUAGGUAGGUCCACCCCCCGGUGCCUCCUCGUCCUCCGAAGGGCAAGGGCCGGCCGCGUUCGGCUUCUUCUCCGGUGACGAUCACUCGGAAGAGCGCACGGAUCGACUUGGCUGCACGGGCGACUGGUGCGUCCCCCAACGCAAUCGAGAAGGCCGCUCGCCGGGCUGCGGCCCGCAACUUGGACUCAGGUCCNNNNNNNNNNNNNNNNNNNNNNNNNNNNNNNNNNNNNNNNNNNNNNNNNNNNNNNNNNNNNNNNNNNNNNNNNNNNNNNNNNNNNNNNNNNNNNNNNNNNNNNNNNNNNNNNNNNNNNNNNNNNNNNNNNNNNNNNNNNNNNNNNNNNNNNNNNNNNNNNNNNNNNNNNNNNNNNNNNNNNNNNNNNNNNNNNNNNNNNNNNNNNNNNNNNNNNNNNNNNNNNNNNAUAGAUGAAACAUCUGAUGGGGGGAUUGUUGGGGAACGUAGUAAUUUCAAAAAAAAUCCUACGCACACACAGGAUCAUGGUGAUGCAUAGCAACGAGAGGGGAGAGUGUGUCCACGUACCCUCGUAGACCGAAAGCGGAAGCAUUAGCACAACGCGGUUGAUGUAGUCGUACGUCUUCACGAUCCGACCGAUCCAAGUACCGAACGCACGACACCUCCGAGUUCAGCACACGUUCAACUCGAUGACGUCCCGCGAGCUCCGAUCCAGCAAAGCUUCGCCGGAGAGUUUCGUCAGCGCGACGGCGUGAUGACGGUGAUGAUGAUGCUACCGACACAGGGCUUCACCUAAGCACCGCAACAAUAUGAUCGAGGAGGAUUAUGGUGGAAGGGGGCACCGCACACGGCUGGGAGAGAUCAACAAAUCAACUUGUGUGUCUAGAGGUGCCCCCUGCCCCCGUAUAUAAAGGAGCAAGGGGGGAGGCCAGCCGGCCCCUGUAGGCGCGCCAGGAGGAGGAGUCCUCCUCCUAGUAGGAGUAGGACUCCCCUCUUUCCUACUCCUACUAGGAGGGGGAAAGGAAGGGGGAGAGGGAGAAGGAAAGGGGGGCGUAGCCCCCCUCUCCUAGUCCAAUUCGGACCAGAGGGGGAGGGGCGCGCGGCCAGCCCUAGGCCAGCCCUCUCUCUCUCCACUAAGGCCCAUAAGGCCCACUAUUUCUCCCGGGGGGAUUCUGGUAACCCUCCGGCACUCCGGUUUUCUCCGAAACCACCCGGAACACUUCCGGUGUCCGAAUAUAGUCGUCCAAUAUAUGGAUCUUUACGUCUCGACCAUUUCGAGACUCCUCGUCAUGUUUGUGAUCAUAUCCGGGACUCUGAUCUACCUUCGGUACAUCAAAACACAAAAACUCAUAAUACCGAUCGUCACCGAACUUUAAGCGUGCGGACCCUACGGGUUCGAGAACUAUGUAGACAUGACCGAGACACGUCUCCGGUCAAUAACCAAUAGCGGAACCUGGAUGCUCAUAUAGGCUCCCACAUAUUCUUCGAAGAUCUUUAUCGGUCAAACCACAUAACAACAUACGUUGUUCCCUUUGUCAUCGGUAUGUUACUUACCCGAGAUUCGAUCGUUGGUAUCUCAAUACCUAGCUCAAUCUCGUUACCGGCAAGUCUCUUUACUCAUUACGUAAUGCAUCAUCCCGCAACUAACUCAUUAGUCAUAUUGCUUCUAAGGCUUAUUGUGAUGUGCAUUACCGAGAGGGCCCAGAGAUACCUCUCCAACAGUCAGAGUGACAAAUCCUAAUCUUGAUCUAUGCCAACUCAACAAGUACCAUCAGAGACACCUGUAGAUCACCUUUAUAAUCACCCAGUUACCUUGUGAAGUUUGGUAGCACACAAAGUGUUCCUCCGGUAAUCGGGAGUUGCAUAAUCUCAUAGUCAUAGGAACAUGUAUAAGUCAUGAAGAAAGCAAUAGAAGUAAACUAAACGAUCAAGUGCUAAGCUAACGGAAUGGGUCAAGUCAAUCACAUCAUUCUCCUAAUGAUGUGAGCCCAUUAAUCAAAUGACAACUCAUGUCUAUGGUUAGGAAACUUAACCAUCUUUGAUUAACGAGCUAGUCAAGUAGAGGCAUACUAGUGACAUUAUGUUUGUCUAUGUAUUCACACAUGUAUUAUGUUUCCGGUUAAUACAAUUCUAGCAUGAAUAAUAAACAUUUAUCAUGAUAUGAGGAAAUAAAUAAUAACUUUAUUAUUGCCUCUAGGGCAUAUUUCCUUCAGUCUCCCACUUGCACUAGUCAAUAAUCUAGAUUACACAGUAAUGAUUCUAACACCCAUGGAGUUUUGGUGCUGAUCAUGUUUUGCUCGUGGAAGAGGCUUAGUCACCGGGUCUGCAACAUUCGGAUCCGUAUGUAUCUUGCAAAUCUCUAUGUCUCCCACCUGGACUUGAUCCCGGAUGGAAUUGAAGCAUCUCUUGAUGUGCUUGGUUCUCUUGUGAAAUCUGGAUUCCUUUGCCAAGGCAACUGCACCAGUAUUGUCACAAAAGAUUUUCAUUGGUCCCGAUGCACUAGGUAUGACACCUAGAUCAGAUAUGAACUCCUUCAUCCAGACUCCUUCAUUUGCUGCUUCCGAAGCAGCUAUGUACUCCGCUUCACACGUAGAUCCCGCCACGACGCUUUGUUUAGAACUGCACCAACUGACAGCUCCACCGUUCAAUGUAAACACGUAUCCGGUUUGCGAUUUAGAAUCGUCUGGAUCAGUGUCAAAGCUUGCAUCGACGUAACCAUUUACGAGUAGCUCUUUGUCACCUCCAUAAACGAGAAACAUAUCCUUAGUCCUUUUCAGGUAUUUCAGGAUGUUCUUGACCGCUGUCCAGUGAUACACUCCUGGAUUACUUUGGUACCUCCCUGCUAAGCUAAUAGCAAGGCACACACCAGGUCUGGUACACAGCAUUGCAUACAUGAUAGAGCCUAUGGCUGAAGCAUAGGGAACAUCUUUCAUUUUCUCUCUAUCUUCUGCAGUGGUCGGGCAUUGAGUCUCACUCAACUUCACAACUUGUAACACGGGCAAGAACCCUUUCUUUGCUUGAUCCAUUUUGAACUUUUUCAAAACUUUGUCAAGGUAUGUGGUUUGUGAAAGCCCUAUCAAGCGUCUUGAUCUAUCUCUAUAGAUCUUGAUGCCCAAUAUGUAAGCAGCUUCACCGAGGUCUUUCAUUGAAAAACUUUUAUUCAAGUAUCCUUUUAUGCUAUCCAGAAAUUCUAUAUCAUUUCCAAUCAGCGAUAUGUCAUCCACAUAUAAUAUCAGAAAUGCUACAGAGCUCCCACUCACUUUCUUGUAAAUACAGGCUUCUCCAAAAGUCUGUAUAAAUCCAUAUGCUUUGAUCACACUAUCAAAACGUUUAUUCCAACUCCAAGAGGCUUGCACCAGUCCAUAAAUGGAUCGCUGGAGCUUGCACACUUUGUUAGCUCCCUUUGGAUCGACAAAACCUUCCGGUUGCAUCAUUGCAACUCUUCUUCCAGAAAUCCAUUCAGGAAUGCAGUUUUGACAUCCAUUUGCCAAAUUUCAUAAUUAUAAAAUGCGGCAAUUGCUAACAUGAUUCGGACAUACUUAAGCAUCGCUACGGGUGAGAAAGUCUCAUCGUAGUCAACCCCUUGAACUUGUCAAAAACCUUUCGCAACAAGUCGAGCUUUGUAGACAGUAACAUUACCGUCAGCCUCAGUCUUCUUCUUGAAGAUCCAUUUAUUCUCUAUGGCUUGCCGAUCAUCGGGCAAGUCAACCAAAGUCCACACUUUGUUCUCAUACAUGGAUCCCAUCUCAGAUUUCAUGGCCUCAAGCCAUUUUGCGGAAUCUGGGCUCACCAUCGCUUCUUCAUAGUUUGUAGGUUCGCCUUGGUCAAGUAACAUGACCUCUGGAAUAGGAUUACCGUACCACUCUAGUGUGGAUCUUACUCUGGUUGACCUACGAGGUUCAGUAGUAACUUGAUCUGAAGUUAUAUGAUCAUCAUCAUUAGCUUCCUCACUAAUUGGUGUAGGAGUCACAGGAAUAGAUUUCUGUGAUGAACUACUUUCCAAUAAGGGAGCGGGUACAGUUACCUCAUCAAGUUCUACUUUCCUCCCACUCACUUCUUUCGAGAGAAACUCCUUCUGUAGAAAGGAUCCAUUCUUAGCAACGAAUGUCUUGCCUUCAGAUCUGUGAUAGAAGGUGUACCCAACAGUUUCCUUUGGGUAUCCUAUGAAGACACAUUUCUCCGAUUUGGGUUCGAGCUUAUCAGGCUGAAGCUUUUUCACAUAAGCAUCGCAGCCCCAAACUUCAAGAAACGACAACUUUGGUUUCUUGCCAAACCAUAGUUCAUAAGGCAUCAUCUCAACGGAUUUUGAUGGUGCCCUAUUUAACGUGAAUGCAGUCGUAUCUAAAGCAUAACCCCAAAACGAUAGCGGUAAAUCAGUAAGAGACAUCAUAGAUCGCACCAUAUCUAGUAAAGUACGAUUACGACGUUCGGACAAACCAUUACGUUGUGGUGUUCCGGGUGGCGUGAGUUGCGAAACUAUUCCGCAUUGUUUCAAAUGUAGACCAAACUCGUAACUCAAAUAUUCUCCUCCACGAUCAGAUCAUAGAAACUUUAUUUUCUUGUUACGAUGAUUUUCCACUUCACUCUGAAAUUCUUUGAACUUUUCAAAUGUUUCAGACUUAUGUUUCAUUAAGUAGAUAUACCCAUAUUUGCUCAAAUCAUCUGUGAAGGUGAGAAAAUAACGAUACCCGCCGCGAGCCUCAAUAUUCAUCGGACCACAUACAUCAGUAUCUAUGAUUUUCAACAAAUCUGUUGCUCGCUCCAUUGUUCCGGAGAACGGCGUUUUAGUCAUCUUGCCCAUGAUGCAUGGUUCGCAAGUACCAAGUGAUUCAUAAUCAAGUGGUUCCAAAAGUCCAUCAGUAUGGAGUUUCUUCAUGCGCUUUACACCAAUAUGACCCAAACGGCAGUGACACAAAUAAGUUGCACUAUCAUUAUCACUACUAUCGAGAUUCAUCACAAAUAGACCACUCUUCAAGGGUGCAUGACCAUAAAAGAUAUUACUCAUAUAAAUAGAACAACCAUUAUUCUCAGAUUUAAAUGAAUAACCGUCUCGCAUCAAACAAGAUCCAGAUAUAAUGUUCAUGCUUAACGCUGGCACCAAAUAACAAUUAUUUAGGUCUAAAACUAAUCCCGAAGGUAGAUGUAGAGGUAGCGUGCCGACGGCGAUCACAUCGACUUUGGAACCAUUUCCCACGCGCAUCGUCACCUCAUCCUUAGCCAGUCUUCACUUAAUCCAUAGUCCCUGUUUCGAGUUGCAAAUAUUAGCAACAAAACCAGUAUCAAAUCCCCAGGUGCUACUGCGAGCUGUAGUAAGGUACACAUCAAUAACAUGUAUAUCACAUAUACCUUUGUUCACCUUGCCAUCCUUCUUAUCCGCCAAAUACUUGGGGCAGUUCCGCUUCCAGUGACCAGUCUGUUUGUAGUAGAAGCACUCAGUCUCAGGCUUAGGUCCAGACUUGGGUUUCUUCUCUUGAGCAGCAACUUGUUUGCUGUUCUUCUUGAAGUUCCCCUUCUUCUUCCCUUUACCCUUUUUCUUGAAACGGGUGGUCUUGUUGACCAUCAACACUUGAUGCUCCUUCUUGAUUUCUACCUCCGCAGCCUUUAGCAUUGCGAAGAGCUCGGGAAUUGUCUUAUCCAUCCCUUGCAUAUUAUAGUUCAUCACGAAGCUCUUGUAGCUUGGUGGCAGUGAUUGAAGAAUUCUGUCAAUGACACUAUCAUCCGGAAGAUUAACUCCCAGUUGAAUCAAGUGAUUGUUAUACCCAGACAUUUUGAGUAUAUGUUCACUGACAGAACUAUUCUCCUCCAUCUUGCAGCUGUAGAACUUAUUGGAGACUUCAUAUCUCUCAAUGCGGGCAUUUGCUUAAAAUAUCAGCUUCAACUCCUGGAACAUCUCAUAUGCUCCAUGACGUUCAAAACGUCGUUGAAGCCCCGGUUCUAAGCCGUAAAGCAUGGCACACUGAACUAUCGAGUAGUCAUCAGCUUUGCUCUGCCAAACGUUCUUAACGUCGUCAGUUGCAUCUGCAGCAGGCCUGGCACCCAGCGGUGCUUCCAGGACGUAAUUCUUCUGUGCAACAAUGAGGAUAAUCCUCAAGUUACGGACCAAGUCCGUGUAAUUGCUACCAUCAUCUUUCAACUUUGCUUUCUCAAGGAACGCAUUAAAAUUCAACGGAACAACAGCAUGGGCCAUCUAUCUACAACAACAUAGACAAGCAAAAUACUAUCAGGUACUAAGUUCAUGAUAAAUUUAAGUUCAAUUAAUCAUAUUACUUAAGAACUCCCACUUAGAUAGACAUCCCUCUAAUCAUCUAAGUGAUCACGUGAUCCAUAUCAACUAAACCAUAACCGAUCAUCACGUGAAAUGGAGUAGUUUUCAAUGGUGAACAUCACUAUGUUGAUCAUAUCUACUAUAUGAUUCACGCUCGACCUUUCGGUCUUAGUGUUCCGAGGCCAUAUCUGCAUAUGCUAGGCUCGUCAAGUUUAACCCGAGUAUUCUGCGUAUAUAAAACUGUCUUACACCCAUUGUAGAUGAACGUUGAGCUUAUCACACCCGAUCAUCACGUGGUGUCUCGGCACGACGAACUUUGGCAACAGUGCAUACUCAGGGAGAACACUUUCACUUUGAAUUUUAGUGAGAGAUCAUCUUAUAAUGCUACCGUCAAACAAAGCAGAAUAAGAUGCAUAAAGUAUAAACAUCACAUGCAAUCAAUAUAAGUGAUAUGAUAUGGCCAUCAUCAUCUUGUGCCUUUGAUCUCCAUCUCCAAAGCACCGUCAUGAUCACCAUCGUCACCGGCGCGACACCUUGAUCUCCAUCGUAGCAUCGUUAUCGUCUCGCCAACUAUUGCUUCUACGACUAUAGCUACCGCUUGGUGAUAAAGUAAAGCAAUUACAGGGCGAUUGCAUUGCAUACAAUAAAGCGACAACCAUAUGGCUCCUGCCAGUUGCCGAUAACUCCGUUACGAAACAUGAUCAUCUCAUACAAUAAAUAUAGCAUCAUGUUUUGACCAUAUCACAUCACAACAUGCCCUGCAAAAACAAGUUAGACGUCCUCUACUUUGUUGUUGCAAGUUUUACGUGGCUGCUACGGGCUGAGCAAGAACCGUUCUUACCUACGCAUCAAAACCACAACGAUAGUUCGUCAAGUUAGUGAUGUUUUAACCUUCUCAAGGACCGGGCGUAGCCACACUCGGUUCAACUAAAGUUGGAGAAACUGACAUCCGCCAGCCACCUAUGUGCAAAGCACGUCGGUAGAACCAGUCUCGCGUAAGCGUACGCGUAAUGUCGGUCCGGGCCGCUUCAUCCAACAAUACCGCCGAACCAAAGUAUGACAUGCUGGUAAGCAGUAUGACUUGUAUCGCCCACAACUCACUUGUGUUCUACUCGUGCAUAUUACAUCUACGCAUAAACCAGGCUCGGAUACCACUGUUGGGGAACGUAGUAAUUUCAAAAAAAUCCUACGCACACACAGGAUCAUGGUGAUGCAUAGCAACGAGAGGGGAGAGUGUGUCCACGUACCCUCGUAGACCGAAAGCGGAAGCAUUAGCACAACGCGGUUGAUGUAGUCGUACGUCUUCACGAUCCGACCGAUCCAAGUACCGAACGCACGGCACCUCCGAGUUCAGCACACAUUCAACUCGAUGACGUCCCGCGAGCUUCGAUCCAGCAAAGCUUCGCCAGAGAGUUUUAUCAGCACGACGGCGUGAUGACGGUGAUGAUGAUGCUACCGACGCAGGGCUUCGCCUAAGCACCGCUACGAUAUGAUCGAGGAGGAUUAUGGUGGAGGGGGGCACCGCACACGGCUGGGAGAGAUCAACAGAUCAACUUGUGUGUCUAGAGGUGCCCCUGCCCCCGUAUAUAAAGGAGCAAGGGGGAGGCCGGCCGGCCCCUCUAGGCGCGCCAGGAGGAGGAGUCCUCCUCCUAGUAGGAGUAGGACUCCCCUCUUUCCUACUCCUACUAGGAGGGGGAAGGAAGGGGGAGAGGGAGAAGGAAAGGGGGGCGGCGCCCCCCUCUCCUAGUCCAAUUUGGACCAGAGGGGGAGGGGCGCGUGGCCUGCCCUAGGCCAGCCCUCUCUCUCUCUCCACUAAGGCCCAUAAGGCCCACUAUUUCUCCCGGGGGGGUUCCGGUAACCCUCCGGCACUCCGGUUUUCUCCGAAACCACCCGGAACACUUCCGGUGUCCGAAUAUAGUCGCCCAAUAUAUCAAUCUUUAUGUCUCGACCAUUUCGAGACUCCUCGUCAUGUCCGUGAUCAUAUCCGGGACUCCGAACAACCUUCGGUACAUCAAAACACAAAAACUCAUAAUACCGAUCGUUACAGAACUUUAAGCGUGCGGACCCUACGGGUUCGAGAACUAUGUAGACAUGACCGAGACACGUCUCCGGUCAAUAACCAAUAACGGAACCUGGAUGCUCAUAUUGGCUCCCACAUAUUCUUUGAAGAUCUUUAUCGGUCAAACCGGAUAACAACAUAUGUUGUUCCCUUUGUCAUCGGUAUGUUACUUGCCCGAGAUUCGAUCGUCGGUAUCUCAAUACCUAGCUCAAUUUUGUUACCGGCAAGUCUCUUUACUCGUUACGUAAUGCAUCAUCCCUCAACUAACUCAUUAGUCACAUUGCUUGCAAGGCUUAUUGUGAUGUGCAUUACCGAGAGGGCCCAGAGAUACCUCUCCGACAGUCGGAGUGACAAAUCCUAAUCUCUAUUUAUGCCAACUCAACAAGUACCAUCGGAGACACCUGUAGAGCACCUUUUUAAUCACCCAGUUACGUUGUGACGUUUGGUAGCACACAAAGUGUUCCUCCGGUAAACGGGAGUUGCAUAAUCUCAUAGUCAUAGGAACAUGUAUAAGUCAUGAAGAAAGCAAUAGCAGUAAACUAAACGGUCAAGUGCUAAGCUAAUGGAAUGGGUCAAGUCAAUCACACCAUUCUCCUAAUGAUGUGAUCCCGUUAAUCAAAUGACAACUCAUGUCUAUGGUUAGGAAACUUAACCAUCUUUGAUUAAUGAGCUAGUCAAGUAGAGGCAUACUAGUGACAUUAUGUUUGUCUAUGUAUUCACACAUGUAUUAUGUUUCCGGUUAAUACAAUUCUAGCAUGAAUAAUAAACAUUUAUCAUGAUAUGAGGAAAUAAAUAAUAACUUUAUUAUUGCCUCUAGGGCAUAUUUCCUUCAGGGAUUCCGGCUGAGGAGGAACCGAUGGACUCCUUCUCAGCGCUUGCUACCGUUCCCUUAGGCCGUCUGACCCUUCUUGCCAAUGACUCUGCGAUUGUCUUCCGUGGUGAGAAGGGCCCCGCCCUCGAACAGAUCGCUGCCAUCAAGGCUAAGGAGAUCCUUGAUGGCCACCUUGCAGCCGCUAGGGCUCGCGAGGCUGCCGCGGCUGAGGCUGCCGUGACCCCCAGCACACAGCCCGUGGGGAGGGGGGAUAGGCCGGCAGCUGCCCUGGUAGAGGUUCGGGGCCGUACUCGUUCUCGCAUGGCUCAGCUUCGUCGGGCUCUUAGCGCGUCCAUUGCGGUGGGGUCCAGCAUGGACCCCCUACAGGAGUAGUAUGCGUGCACUUUUCUGGAACCUUCGCGGCUUUGGCCAUGAUGGCCGGCGACGCCAAUUAGUGGACUACAUGCGCGAGGAAAAUAUUGAUAUAGUGGCGAUCCAAGAAACGAUGAGGACCGAGUUCUCUCUCUCUCAGAACUCGAUCGGUUGAGCCGACACUUGUUUGCAUGGCACUGGUUGCCAUCUAGUGGAGUGGCGGGACACUCCGGUGGCAUCCUUCUCGGGGUGAAGGAUGCCACCUUUGAGGUUGGCUCCAUGGACCGCGGAGAUUUCUUCGUGAGUAUGGAAGUAUGGGAGAGGGCAGUUAACUUCAAAUGGGAAGUGAUUGUCGUCUAUGGCCCGACUGACCACAGUCGCUCCACCGCGUUCCUCGCUGAGUUGCAUGCCAAGAUUAGGGCAGCUACUCUCCUAGUGAUCAUUGGGGGUGACUUCAAUCUUCUUCGUUCCGUAGCUGACAAGAAUAAUGGCCGGGUUGACCAGUCAGGCAUGCAAUGCUUUAAUGACUGGAUUGCCGACCUCGAGCUCCGGGAAUUAGAUAUGGUCGGAGCUCGUUUCACCUGGACUAAUAAACAGGUGAACCCGACCCGAAGUGUUCUGGACCGGGUAUUUGUAUCCCCUGAAUGGGAACUUCGGUUCCCCUUAGCUACUCUCUAGGCCAUCACAAGGAUUGGAUCCGACCAUGUACCCCUCUUACUAUCAUCCAUGGAUGAGCGGCCUCGACCGCCCCCUCGCUUUCGGUUUGAGGUGUUCCGGCUUCGCCAUCCGGGAUUCAUUGCGGCUGUUCGAGACCAUUGGAUUGCGGCCCGUGCUGAACCUCACCGGACCAUGUCAGUCAUGGACGACUGGCAUCACUUGGCCAAACGCUCCAGGCAAUUUAUGAAGGGCUGGGGCGCAAAUAUUGGGCGGGACCUGCGGGUCCAGAAGCAGGCUCUACUCAUGGAGAUCCGGGCACUUGACAUACGCGUUGACGGCCCAGGUCUGUCUUCUGAGGAAUGGUCCCUUAGGUACAGCCUGGAAGAUACCCUUACUGACAUCUAUGCCAAAGAAGAAGAUACGGGCGCCAGCGCGGCUCUUUUAAUUGGAUCAUCUUUGGCGAUGCCAACACGGCUUAUUUUCAGGCCAUUGCCAAUGGCCGUAGGCGACGAUGCACCAUCCCCAUCCUUUGGGAUGGGGACCGGUUGCUACAGGACCCGGACAAGAUCCGGGCUCAUGUUGAUGGGUUCUAUAUAACUCUGUUUUCCACUCGUCCGCGAGGGGGCCUUGCCCUAGCUGAGAACUUUUGGGACGAGCAUCUCCGCAUCUCUCCCGAAGAGAACCAAUCCCUCCUUAACCCCUUUGAAGAAUUAGAGGUGGAGGCCAUCGUCAAGUCCAUGAACCCGGCCUCUGCCCCGGGUCCGGACGGCCUCCCGGUCCGGUUUUUUCAGAUUUUCUGGCCCACCGUCAAGGGCGAGAUUAUGGCGUUAUUCCGGGAGAUUUCGAGGGGGACCCUUGAUGUAUCCCACCUUAACUAUGGGAUCAUAUCUCUGAUCCCCAAAGUCCAGGGGGCAUCGUAUAUUCGACAGUUCCGCCCGAUCACGGUCAUUAACGUGAUCUUUAGGAUUCUAGCCAAGGGGUACGCCACUAGGGCGGCUCUCUUGGCUCCAAGGAUCCAUCACCCGAACCAAUCGGCGUUCAUGAAGGGUCGAUUCAUUCUCGACGGGGUUCUAGUGCUUUACGAGAUCCUCCACAAGGUCAAGAGAAAGCACCUCCGUGCGGUUUUCUUCAAGAUUGAUUUCCAUAAGGCCUAUGAUACGGUCCACUGGUUCUUUCUCCGUGAGGUCAUGGAGAAGCGUGGGUUUGACCCAUAUUGGAUAGCUCGGGUGAUGCAGUUGGUUAUGUCUGGCCGCACUGCAGUGAACAUCAACGGGGAAGUUGGCUCCUACUUCCGCACUGCCCAGGGGGUGCGCCAAGGCGACCCCCUGUCCCCCUUCCUGUUUAACAUGAUUGUGGAUGUGCUUGCCACAAUCUUGGACAAAGCUCGGCGGGCUGGCCAUAUCAAGGGGAUCCGCCCGCACCUAGUCGGUGACGGGGGUAUUACUCAUCUCCAAUAUGCAGAUGACACCAUCCUCAUGGUUGAAGGCUCGGACACUGACAUCCAAAAUCUGAAGUUUUUACUCUUGUGUUUUCAAGAGAUGUCGGGCCUGACAAUAAACUUUGCCAAAAGCGAAGUAAUGGUGCUAGGCUACUCAGGGGAGGAAUCCCGACGCAUAGCCAAUAUGCUGAACUACCGUCUAGGCUCGUUUCCGACCUCCUACCUUGGCCUCCCGAUUAGCGAUUCCCGCCUCCAGGCGAAGGAUCUUCGCCCCACGGUGUCCAAGCUUCAGCAUAGGGUCGAGCCAUGGCACGGGCGGUGGCUAUCCAAGGCGGCCCGGGUCGUGUUGAUGAACUCCUCCUUAGUUAGCCUGCUUAUGUACUUGAUGGGAUUCUAUAGUUUGCAUGAAUCCCUUCAUCAGGAAGUCACCAAGUAUUUGUCUCGGUUCUUCUGGGCGGGACCAGAUAAUAGACAAAAAUACCACAUGGUGAAAUGGUUUGAGGUUUGCAAGCCAAAGGACCAAGGCGGCUUGGGAGUCAUCUCGUCCAAGCGGAUGAACAUAGCCUUGCUCUCCAAAUGGCUAUAGCGCAUUGAGGCAGGAGAUGGAGGCCUAUGACUCCAGAUCAUCCGCGCAAAGUACCUGCGUGGACAGCCCCUUGCCUUCGCCUCCCGGACGGGUGGCUCCCAGUUUUGGCAAGCAGUCAUCCAGCUUAUGCCGGUCCUACGGAUUGGAACGUCCAUCUCGGUGGGGACAGGCACCAACACCCUGUUCUGGCUUGACCGUUGGUCGGGUGAUAGACCAUUUGCCCAACGUUUCAACGCGCUAUUUUCCAUCUGUGUCCGACCGCAUCUGUCCGUACAAGCGGCCCUCACUGACUUGGGGGUUGUAGCUUUCCGCCGAACUUUUGGCCCGUUAGAACGGGUCCAAUGGGACAAGAUGCUCCAAUGUAUUGCUCUACUCCCACUCCAUGGAGGAAGAUUCAGUAUCGUGGUCCCUCGAACCAAGUGGGAGGUUUUCUACCAAGUCCCUAUACCACGCCAUGCUAGCUACCCCGGGCCCAACCGAAAUGACCCUUCUUUGGGAGAUUAAGCUACCAUUAAAGAUUCGCAUCUUUCUAUGGCAAUGGGUUCGAGGCCGUUUACCCUCGGGUACGGAAGUUAGAAAACGGAAUGGCCCCGGGGAUGGUCUAUGCCCCCUAUGUAGCGUACCUGAAGAUUCCAACCAUAUUUUCUUUCGAUGCCCGGCGGCAGUCCUCCUCUGGAGCUGCAUCAGGGAGGUGAUUGGGACCAUGAUAACCUCCCCGAUCUGUUCCAGGCGGUCCUAAGCCGAGAGGCCAGGACGCGCCCUAGUCUGUGGGUAUUAGUGCGGACGAUGGUAAUGGACCCUGUGGAUGGCUCGCAAUAAGCUCGUUCGUGAUUGAGCAUGUGAUUCCAAUUCGUGCGACUGAUUCUAUUUACAAACUGUGUGGCUUCUUAGAGCUAUGGAGACCGCUCAGCAAGCGGUGAUAUCGGGACUUGAUCGACAGGAUCAUCUCGGCUUUACGCACCACCGCCGGAGCAUUGGCGCCACCGCUCCCGCCUCCACCACUUGAGCCGGAUUAGUUAGACUUUGAUCCAUAUUUUGGGAUUGUUUGGCUGUCCGUUCUGUGUUGUACUUGUGUUAUGCCCUUAUGGUAACUUAUUUUCGUUUCCUUGGCUGGACCUUUUGUUGGCCGCGGUUGCCGGAUUUAUAAUCUAAAGCGGGGGAAAACCCUAUUUCAUGAAUGCCUCCGCGCUGUCACACGGAGUGGUCUAGACCGCAAGAGUGCAGUGUGCACCGGCGAAGGUGGAGAAGACUAGCAGUGCGGUGCCUCUGACGAUGGCUUGGAACAGGUCCGUCAGCCACCACUGCCGCUGCAUGCUCCGGCGCCAUGGCUCGAAAGAAACUUGGCCACCGGCUGCCGGGCGCGCGGGGAGAGAGCUCGGUCUCGGCUGCUGCUUGUCCUCGGGUGCCGCCACGCAGACGCGGUACGCACCAACCGAGCCAGUCACUCACUCGCCCCUGGCGCGACGUCACAUCCAGGGUCACAGGGGACGUGGACGUCCGGUGGAAAAAGCGUCGCGGUGCGGACAAGCGGGGCGACGUGAGUUUCGAGAAGGCGCGACGCGACAGACAGGGACGCCCCGCACCGCCCGCACUCGCGCUGCCGUGCCGUACGUGGGCGGGUGGGUGCCGUCGUGGGGGAUGGCGCCGGUUACGGAAACGUGGGGGUUGCCCCGUGCGGCCGCGCCGAGCCCAGCUGGAGCAGCGGUCGAUUCGAUCGGUAAUUUUUCCAGUUCCAAACUGGUUCUACAGAACGUAACUCGAGCCUACUGAAAAGUGUAAUCUACGUGCAGUAUAAAUAUCCACAUGCACGGAAAAAGGUUCGUAAGUAUCUCAACCAUCCCAAAUCCCAUGAAAUCAUUUCUUGAAUUAAAGAGGGCCCGGCUCGUACAACCUCCAACCGAACACCUGCUCCCUCCGUCACAUAACAUAAGAGCGUUUUUUAUCCCAUAAUGUAAGAGAGUACAUACCAACAAUAGAAACAUCGUACAAGUUUUCCUCUUGGUCUAUUCAAUAACGAGCUUGCGGAGAAACAUACCAAAAAAUUGCAACUCUAAAGAAUUACUAGUAGGUUCUUCCUUGCUGCUUGUAUUUUAUUUGGGCUGUUGCCUUUUCUAUAUCUAGCCUAACCACUCAUAGCAGAACACAACAGCUCUUCAAAAAAUACAUGUAUUAAAACACAACAUGUUAGCAUAAGUGAGUAUGUAUUUACAAGAAGAGUGACAAAGUUGUAUGUGAGAUUCUUGUUGUAAUCAUGCCACAGAGAAAGCUACUGCGAGUUUGUUUUGGUCUGCGCCUUGGGCACACGACAUACUAUAGAGCUAUCAAAUUGUGGCGGGCAUACACAUCAUUUUGUUGAGUCUAAAUUGAAGGGAAGAAUUCCGCAUAGGGCCACGCCUGGCUCGCCAUAUAUUGCCCCUAUGUUAAUGUUACCGAGUACUUAUGUCAGAGUUGCCCAAAGUCCUAUUUCAAGAUGAGUAAUAAGCUUAACACCGAGCUACACAGACCAAAUCAUAAAAUAAAGCAAUUGAUGUGUUAGCUAAGACAUGACAUGUGUUUUUUUGGCGGGAUGCAUGCCUAACUCUAAAUGCAGCUAUUUCUAGCCUAUUAAGCCUAAUGAGGACACGAAAUAUCGUUUGUGAACUGCCUACCAACAUUUAUGGAAAACAAAACCCUGCACCUAAAAAGCACACAGAAUGAUGAUGAUUUUCUUUCAUAGUACCAUGCCGAACUUUGCUCAUGACAUUUCUAAAUGUAUCUUUUUAGGACCACCUAAAUCAAUCGAUUGCUAUUUUUUCGGUCUCAGCCGAUUAUGUCGGAACCGUUAGAUGUCAAUCCAGCACCCUCACUGUUCAUCUUCUUCCUCGAANNNNNNNNNNNNNNNNNNNNNNNNNNNNNNNNNNNNNNNNNNNNNNNNNNNNNNNNNNNNNNNNNNNNNNNNNNNNNNNNNNNNNNNNNNNNNNNNNNNNNNNNNNNNNNNNNNNNNNNNNNNNNNNNNNNNNNNNNNNNNNNNNNNNNNNNNNNNNNNNNNNNNNNNNNNNNNNNNNNNNNNNNNNNNNNNNNNNNNNNNNNNNNNNNNNNNNNNNNNNNNNNNNNNNNNNNNNNNNNNNNNNNNNNNNNNNNNNNNNNNNNNNNNNNNNNNNNNNNNNNNNNNNNNNNNNNNNNNNNNNNNNNNNNNNNNNNNNNNNNNNNNNNNNNNNNNNNNNNNNNNNNNNNNNNNNNNNNNNNNNNNNNNNNNNNNNNNNNNNNNNNNNNNNNNNNNNNNNNNNNNNNNNNNNNNNNNNNNNNNNNNNNNNNNNNNNNNNNNNNNNNNNNCCCUCGUCGCCAUCCCCCCCCUCCCGAAUCGUCAAGUUUCCGACUCAUCUUCACAUGCGACGCCGUGUGCCGGCCGCGGCGUCCCCGUCUCCGCCUCGGCUAGCAGUCGACCGAUGCAGUAAAUUUUCAUGCAACGAAGAAAUAGCCAUGCAAUUUUGCUAAACCAAACAACUAUCACUUGUGCACACUCAACACUAGCCAGCACAACCAAAUUAUCCAUUUGAUGCACGUCCACAGGAGAGAGAGGGGAGGGUGAAGAGAGAGAGAGGGAGUGUGUGUCGCCGCGAGAACUCCGAUAGCCACCCCCCCCACUCCCUUUCUCUCUCCUCAACUUUUCCCUUUUUUACUGCCCUCUCUCUCUCCCCUCCCCGCACACACCCCAUGCUUCCGCUUCUUCUUCCCCCAUCAAUCGCGAACCGGAUAGGGGAUAGAUAGAUCGCCCCCAAAUCUUUGCCCGGAACACCGCGGCGGCCGGCCGCUUCCACCCAACGCCACCCCACCCCACCACCACCACCCCUCGCUCUCCCCAGAUUCGGGCCUCCGUGGAGAUUUCCGGGAUCUUUCCGCCGGCGCCGUCGCCCAUGGCGUGCUGACAUGGUCUGCCGCGCCGCAAGCUGCCCUGCACAGGUCAGGCUCCGCUCCGCCCCCCUCUCCUCGCCCCGAUCUGCCGGCCGGAGCCGCCACCCGGGUGGCGGCUCUGGCCGAGCGCCCGAGCUUUGACGAGCUCCUGAUCUAGCCAAAGAUUGGUUUUUGCUUCCCGGAGAUCUUUCCGUGGAUUCGGUCGCCGCGCUUCCAUUUUUGUAGCCUCGGUUUUUCCUCCCUUUCCCGUUGUAUUUCGCGUCCGAUUCGGCAGGUUUCCAGUCAAUCUCGCCGUGCUAUUUCGGACUUUGCUUGACUGGCUUCUUGACUCAUGUUUUUGCCUCAGUUGCUUCGAUCCGACGAGCCAAGAAGAUGAACGGCGCGCCGAUCCCCGCGCCCCCGUUGGCGGCCGGCGCCGACGCCGCGGCCGCCGCGACGCCCAAGAAGAAUGCGGUCGCCGAGAUGGCCAGGCACCUCACCGUCGACACGGACGACGCCUUCGCCGGCCUCCUCGAGCUCGCCGCCGACGACGACGCGGACGGCCUGCGCCGCGCGCUGGAGCGCGCGCCCCCCGCCGCCGCGGACGAGGCCGGCCUCUGGUACGGCCGCCGGAAGGCGCUCGAGCAGCGCACCCCGCUCAUGGUCGCCGCCACCUACGGCAGCCUCGCCGCGCUCCGCCUGCUGCUGUCCCUCCCCUCCGUCGACGUCAACCGCCGCUGCGGCCCCGACGGCACCACCGCCCUUCACUGCGCCGCGUCUGGUGGCUCGUCCUCGGCCGUCGAGGCCGUCAGGCUGCUCCUGGUGGCCGGGGCUGACGCCGAUGCCACAGAUGCGUCCGGGUGCCGUCCGGCUGAUGUGAUCUCUGUGCCGCCAAAGAUGAUUGAUGCAAAGAUCGCCCUCCAAGAUCUGCUUGGGCUCCCAAAGUCUGGACAUGGCUUGCUCCGGGUGGUGACAAGGGCCACAAACCUGACCUCGUCGCCGGUGUCAUCUCCCACCGCCGAGGACGCUCGGUCUCCAUCAGCUGCCGUGAUGAUGAUGUCAAAGUUCCCAGACCUGCCGAGGGUUGCGACCUCAGAGAAGAAGGAAUACCCAGUGGAUCCAUCCCUGCCGGAUAUCAAGAACAGCAUCUAUGCCUCUGAUGAGUUCCGCAUGUACUCCUUCAAGAUCAGGCCGUGCUCCCGGGCGUACUCACAUGACUGGACCGAGUGCCCCUUUGUGCACCCUGGGGAGAACGCUCGGCGCCGCGAUCCGCGCAAGUAUCACUACAGUUGUGUUCCAUGCCCUGAUUUCAGAAAAGGUGUGUGCCGGCGUGGAGACAUGUGUGAGUAUGCUCAUGGGGUGUUUGAGUGCUGGCUCCACCCAGCGCAAUACCGCACUCGCCUUUGCAAGGAUGGCACCGGCUGCAAUCGCCGCGUCUGUUUCUUCGCGCACACCACCGAUGAGCUCCGCCCACUGUAUGUCUCCACUGGGUCCGCAGUGCCAUCCCCUAGGGCCUCAGCAACGGCUGCAAUGGAGAUGGCAGCAGCAAUGGGCUUGAUGCCUGGUUCUCCGUCAUCGGUCUCGGCAGUCAUGUCCCCAUUUACCCCACCAAGGUCUCCUUCUGGGAAUGGGAUGCCCCCUUCUUUGGGCUGGCAGCAACCAAAUGUUCCGACGCUACACCUUCCGGGCAGCAGCCUUCAGUCAAGCAGACUCCGAAGCUCACUUAAUGCAAGGGAUAUGCCUAUGGAUGACUACUCCCUGUUGCAGGAUAUUGAUUCCCAGCUUAUAAACGAUCUGUGCUACUCGCGUCUUGGUUCAUCAGCAGGAGGGAACCAUAGUUCUCGGACCAAGAGUCUGAACCCUUCAAACCUGGAUGAUCUCUUUUCUGCUGAGAUGGUCUCAUCCCCAAGGUACAACAAUGCUGAUCAAGGUGCUAUGUUUUCACCUUCCCAGAAGGCUGCCAUCCUUAAUCAGUUCCAGCAACAGCAGCAGCUUCUUUCGCCGAUCAACACAGGGUUCUCACCAAAGGCUGUGGACAACCAGCAGUUGCAUUCACGCUCAUCCCUACUGCAAGCAUCACUUGGGAUAUCCUCCCCUGGCCGGAUGUCCCCCCGUUGCGUCGAAUCUGGGUCGCCAAUGAACUCCCACCUAGCCGCCGCCCUUGCCCAGCGUGAGAAGCAACAGCAGCAGCAGCACCAACAGCACCAGCAGACAAUGAGGAGCCUCAGUUCUCGUGAUCUCGGGCCUAGUGCUGCAAGAGCAUCGGCUGCUGUUGGCUCUCCUCUGAGCUCAUCAUGGUCCAAGUGGGGGUCUCCUUCAGGGGCACCGGACUGGGGCGUCAACGGUGAAGAAUUGGGUAAGCUUCGCCGGUCAUCUUCCUUUGAGCUGAGAUCAGGCGGCGAUGACCCAGAUCUCUCCUGGGUGCACACACUGGUUAAGGAGUCUCCACCAGAGAAGCAGGUCACCACAGCUGAAUCCAUCAACAACUCUGUCAGACCUUCACCUCAAAUGCAUCCCAGUGUAAGUAACGGUGAAGGCUCUAGUGUGAGCACGCAGCUGAACCGACAUGACCAAGCCGCAGUUAUCGGAGCGCUGCUCGAGCAGAUGCAGCUUGACGAGCAGAUUGGUAGUCUAGCAGCAACAUAGACGAACAACCAAACAGAGCCCGGGAGGUGCGAGAAGAAGUUACCAUUGUUAGCUAAAGAAGAAUUGCAAGUAUUUUUUUGAUUUUCUGUUCAUUGAGGUCGUCAACAAGCAAGCAAGCAAGCGAAAAGGAUGGAUGGAUAGCUGAAGGCGGUGAUUCAGGGAUUGGUUUUCGUUAAUUUUUGGGAGGUAAAAAUCAAUACACAACUAUUGAGUUUCCAUUUCCAGUAGGUUAAAUUAAAGAGUGGAGUUACCUCAGUUUGGGGCCGAACGGAGGUAGAGAGAAUCGCACCCCGGCAGCUUCAGUUCAUCAGCCAAAAAAGAUUUAGUUGUCUAUUCUGUUAAUUAACCCUGUUAUAUUAAAUUAAAAGAAGAAGGCUCGUGUGCCAUGCCAGAAUUCUUUCCUUUUUUUUACCUUGGUGGUUGUUGUUUAUUUUGUUUUUUAUUGUUGUGACAUGGAUACUUGAUGUACUGAUGGGGUAUAAAUGGUUACCCGGGCAUGCUAUAGUUCCAAGUCCCCAAAUAUGUUUCAAUUUUAAUUUUUCCUUCAACAUGAUUUGUGAGAGGAUUACACCGUGGCCUUGUUUUCGGUCAGAAGAUGUUGAUUCCUCUAUUGUUCGUGGAUGAUAAUUGUAAUGAUGAUAAUAAUGUGAAAUUGUUACCGAAUCUUCGUCGCUGUUUAUUUUUUCGCCGUCGAAUCUUGGUUCAUCUGAAGUGCUCCCGAAUUUCUUGUGACUGGUGGCUUCUGAUGAAUCGUUCGGCCGAUGCAACCAGGGUUCUGUUUCUUGACUGGUAGAUGGAAUUUCAGGGCUAGUGGGUGCACGUGGUGGAGUCAGUUGUGGGUGCAUUUUUAUUGGCCAAGUGUGAGCGAGAUAAUGCGCCGACUAGUCAGUGUGAAGAUCGUGGAAUCUUAUCCCCGUUUUCACCCUAGAUCUUGAUUCGAAUUCGUGCCGGCAUUCGGAGGACGCGUAGCCGCGAUAUGAUUCUUAUUGCACCAGUUUUUGACAGUGAGGCGGUUCUCGAUGUAGAAUAUUGUUUGGUGCUUCUCCAACGGGAGUGGCCAAAACGAACCUCCUCAAAUGUCCCGAUAUCCGUCCCUUGUCCGAUGCAGAGAACAGAGAAAAGAAAGAAAGAUAAGAAAUGAAUUUAUGAUGGGUUCAAGGCUGAGUUCGUGUGCCCGGACUCCCCCAACCCUCCCCUAAGUUCAGGGACGAUUUGUGGUUGGUCCAAGGCUUAGCAUGUUCGAACUCCCCCAAUCCUCCUCUAAGUUUGGGGGCUGUUGGUGGGAUUUCAAACGUCCAGGUUAGCAUCUACAAAUAUCCGUCCCUUGUCCAAUGCAGAGAUCAGAGAAAAGAAAGAUACAAAAGAAUUUAUGAUGGGUUCAAGGCUGAGUUCGUAUGUCCGGACUCCCCCAAUCCUUCCCUAAGUUCAGAGCGGUUUGUCGGUGGUCUUAGGCUGAGUUAGCGUGUUAGUUUGGGGGCUGUUUGUGGGAUUUCAAACGUCCAGGCUAGUUUACAGAUAUCUGAUGACCGCCGGUGGAUGGCAAAAAAUGUCUGAACACACUAGUUCAGACAUUUGACGGUUUGACGAGUCCCGUUUGGAGUUGCCCUUACAAUCCCCUUCCCAUCAAUCCCUUUCCACAAAACUAAGUACUGUGUCGAUUUCCACUCCUUCCUAGUCGGCAGCCCCAUGGAUUGAAGCAUUGAUUCGACAUUGGCACUCCAGGGCGCCGGCCAUCCAACAAAUAUCCGUCCCUUGUCCAAUGCAGAGAUCAUAGAAAAGAAAGAUAAAAGAUUAAUUUAUGAUGGGUUCAAGACUGAGUUCGUGUGUCCAGACUCCCCCAACCCUCUCCUAAGUUCAGGGGCGGUUUGUGGUUGGUCCAAGGCCAGGUUAACAUGUUCGAACUCCCCCAAACCUCCUCUAAGUUUGGUGGCUGUUUGUGGGAUUUCAAACAUCCAGGUUAGUAUCUACAAAUAUCCGUCCUUUGUCCAAUGCAGAGAUCAGAGAAAAGAAAGAUACAGAAUGAAUUUAUGAUGGGUUCAAGGCUGAGUUAUUGUGUCCGGACUCCCCCAAUCCUUCUCCAAGUUCGCAGCGGUUUGUCAUUGGUUUUAGGCUGAGUUAGUGUGUUCAGACCCCUACCCCCCACCCCCCCAAAAAAACCUCCUAUAAGUUUGGGGUCUGUUUGUGGGAUUUCAAACGUCUAUGUUAGUUUACAGAUAUUUGAUGACUGCCGGUGGAUGGCAAAAAGUGUCUGAACACGAUGGUUAAGACAUUUGACGACUCCCGUUUGGAGUUGCCCUUACCAUCCCCUUUCCAUCAAUCCCUGUCCCCGAAACCAAGUACUGUGUCGAUUUCCACUCAUUCCUAGUCGGCAGCCUCAUGGAUUGAAGCAUUGAUUCGACAUUGGCACUCCGGGGUCUCCAUCAUUCCAUCAAGACCAUCACAAAACCAGUACAGGCAUGACGUGCACAGGCCAGAAGCAUGGUAUAGGGUGAUGACAUGAUGAGCAGAAUUUUCUUCUUCUAAACGGAGGCAAAAGUUUUGCCUAUCAAAUAAUUUCGGAAGAGAAUCACCCAAUUAAUUUACAGAAAACCGGGCGAAAACCAAUGGUGAGCAGAAAUGGCUGCCUUUCAACCUUCGUUUUCAAGUUUGAGCACCUUGAUGGCGCUACCUUUUGCUUGUGUGAGCAAGUUCAAUGAAUAAUUGGCAAAAUAAAAUUGCUCCAAGACUAGCCAUGCUUCCACAAUCAGCAGGUGCACAAAGAUCAAACAUAAUACACACCAGCCUCCAGGCACUAGUUCACAAAUAGCAUCGAUUAACGAUAAAGAAUCAACUGUUACCACGAACAUGAAUCUAUCACCACUCCAGCAGUAAGUUAAACUAAUACAAUUCAACCCCAUUUCAAGUCAAAUUCAAAGAAUAAAAAUAUGAAGUCCUAUAAGUUUCGCAAACACAAACUGCUGCAGAUUGAAAGUAAGAGACGAACACUCCAGCUAAUCUCUGGUUGAAAUCGAGUAUGGUACAAAACAGGGCGUUAGUUAAAAGUUACCAAAAUCAAUUGAGACAUCACUGACUGACAUUCAUUUGUAGUCCGUAAUCACUUGGAAGCCCAUUUACAAAAAAUGCCACCGCUUGUUUUUUUUGCGCGCUUUGUGGACAUUAGAUUUCCGGUCCUGGAGAACACUGCUGAUCGACAAACAACUUACUCCCUCUUUCUGGAUUUCUGAAUCUUGACAUAAGGCAAAAAUCCAAAGAGGUGGAUAAUGCGCGGCUCCCACCCACGCUGCUGAGCUCGGCAGAACAUCAAGAAUGUGUUUGCAAAGUAUGAGUUGAAGCCCAUAAGCACAUGCCACCAUGCAUGUCCCUGCGGGUUGAUGACCCAGAGCGAGAGCUUCUUACAGAAGAUGCGAUCAACUAGCCAGCAAACUGUCGCCAGGAAUAUGGUAAGAACCCACAGCUUCGCGAGCCUCUUGGCAGCCAAGUCUUUCGUCUGAAUGUAGUACUUGUACAUCCGCGGGAUGCAGAGAAGGCAGAGGCCAAUGUAGUGCAACUUGAAUACUACUUGGAAUCGCACGAAGAAGUGAACUACAGCAAAUGCAGCACCGUAUAGGACAAGGAAAGUAGGCAUGGUGCUCCUGUAAUGCCAGUCUGGUGAAUAAAGGACAUACAGAUAUAGGAGAAUUUCCCACACCAUUGGAGUCUCGUCACUCUGCUGUAAGCUGGAAAACAAAAUAUGGCCAACACGAAUCAAUAUAUUGCAAACAGUAAAGCAAAACUGAAAGAAAUAAUAUGAAGAAUUUGGCUGAAGUUAAGACAUGCUGAAACUGAGAUGCACACCAAGAAAUGCAUGUGAUGAUCCAUGAGGCCUCAAAUGCACAGCCUUUACUCAACAGAUUGAGAGAGAAUGAUUUUUAACUUGCACAUCAUGGUCUUAAUUACAGGAAUGCAUCCACUCUACAUAGGACUUGAAACAACUCACCUAUUGUGUUUGAUGCAAUGGAUAUGGUAUUUAUAAUUCAAAGUACAUGCAGCACAGACAGUUGUUAAGGAGGUAAGUGGUAAGUAAUGAUGUGCAUCAUAUGACCACCAAAAACAAGCAAGUUGCUUUAUUCGGGAGACUUCUAAUUUACUAAUUUGCCAACCAAAAGGCAGCUAGAUUACCCUAUGCAUUUUUCAAGGACCAACAGGAGUGGCAAAUAGUGAGCGCCUGUAACUACUGAAAUUUUGUCAUAAACAUAAGAAAACCAUUCAACACAGACACCAUUUCAGCAAUGAACAGCUGUACCAGUUGUUGAUGGUCAGCCAGGGCAUAAGUACAACCAUGCCAAAUUUUUAAUUCGGAACGUUCCAAAUUAAUCACUCGUUGUUCGGGUGCGCAAGUGCAUAUCAGUGCAUAAGCAUAGAAUUUUGAAAGCAAGACUCGAUGGAGAAAACAAUCUAAUGUGGCUUGUAAUUUGUCAAUGCAACCUUCUAUACCCAAGUUUUCAACCUAUGAAGACGAUCCUGUUUUGUUUGUAAUUUGCCUGUAUUUUUGUAACUUCUCAGAGUAGGGCUAUUUUCAAUUUAUUGAAGGGAGCCAUUCACCAAGAAUUUACAAGGUGUUCUAACAGAAUCACAUAGAAGUAACAAAGAAUGUAUUGUUUAUGGCUUUUGGCUUUGUGCUGAAACACCGGAAGUAAAAUGCACUUCUUUGAAUAUCAACAGCAGCGAGAUCAAAGAAAAGUUCAGGUCAAUAACAGCCAGAUAACAAUUACAAUAGCAGGGCGUAAUAUAUAUAGCGCUAAUACAAACUAAACACAAAUUCAUGUUAAUAAAAUAUCUUCUGCAAAUGAUUCAAAUGGCAGUAAAUAUAGGUUCAUCAAGGUGCAUUUAUUUUCUGCUAUCAGAAACUCUCAAUCAAAUGCGAGCACGCGUCGCUAAAUGUAAAAGGUGUGUCCUGGGUAGUGUCUGAGAGAUAGUACCUAACAAACUCGGAUCUACAAAAUAUCAAUAUGUUCUGUGUAUUUCAAUAAUUUAUAGUCGCCAAUACUACAUCAUGUUCACUUACUAAGCUGUAACCAUCAUAGACAGGAAAUCAGCCAAAAAGAUAAUGAAAAUGGUCACGGUGAAGCAAGAAACCACGUCUGAGCAAAUUAACAACUGGCAUUGUAGAGUCUUUUUUUCCCUCAAAAUGGUAGGGAGCAUGAAAUUUAACUUUGAUGUUUUGAAGCAAAGCCAUAACUAGUAAAAAAGAAAGAGGAAAUUACCCUAGAUUCAACGACAUGCUGUAACCAAAACCCAUCCCAUCAUUGUGAGCGCAAUUGCAAGAUACGCGUAGUAGGAAAGAACAACAUUCAACGAGCGAAAGGGCUAACUCCCAGAAUUGCGUGAUUACGAUUAAUACCAACCGAGAAUACCAGUACAGUUAACUAAAAACUUACACAUGUUGCAAGGUUGCAUGGAAGAUGAUACUCCCAAUAGAAAGUAUCAUAUUGGAUAUGUGCAGGACGCUGAAGCGCUUCUCAAAACGUUGGCGGAGAGCAUUCACGAGCCCAAUAAGCGCCAAGAGAAUGCAUGGGGCAUUAGAGAGAGUAUUGUAGAACUCUGCGAUGUAUGACGAGCGCGCAUAGUUCUCCUCGCACAGCUCAGUGGUUGAUGUAACCGGCCCCCAGAAGCUCGCCACCAUCGAAUCCGCCAUGGAAUCGGCCAUGAUUACCUCUUUACUCGGUAUGCUAUCAAGAGGCUAUGUCACAGCACGGUGUUGGAGGGCAGCAAACCAAAGACCUGCAGAAAUGAAACGUAAUUUUGUCAAGACCUACGCAGUGCUUGUGGCAGUUAAUCAUACUCCUGUGUGUACAAGAUAUAAAAAAUGUCGGCAUGUGGCGGGUACAGCAGGUAAAGAAGUCGUUAAAAGAUAAUUGACGUUUCCAUCAUAUAUAUCCUAUUCAUCCAUAAAAGGCAAGGGUAAUUUUCCCACUAAUGCAAUGACAUAAUAACGGCGGAACACCUCUUGGCACAAACAAUCCAAGUCACCAUCAUGGAAGGCUCACACGCAGCAAGUAGAAUUACAUAAGUAACUCCUACUCAGUGAGGGCUCGAAAAAAACCCUAACAACAAUUAAACACAAGUGCAACCACUAGCUUCCUUGAAAGGCGCUCUUACAACAGAAUCCAGCGGCACCAGCAGAUCCCAUCAGGGGUACGCACAGAUUCGCCGCAGCGAAAUCCGGCAUCGAUCGAUUCCCAGUCCCCCCGACCAGCCCCACCGCACAAGCAAACGUCUACCAGACCCAGGCCGAAUCUCCCACAGAUCUGCCUGCAGUGGAGGCCGAAUCAGCGGGAACGCGCACCAGCCCCCGCAGCGGCGAUUAGCAGGCCGCCAGCCCCGAGACCGUCGGCGCGACCCCCCUCUCUUGGCUCGCGGAAAACCCGCGCGUCGCCGCCCGUCCAGAAAAUUCAGAUCGCCGUGGACCAAACCGAAGGGGGCGGAGGGAUGGAUGGACCGGGGAGAACCCGCGGCUAGGGUUUUGAUCGGAAGGGAUCGAGGGAUCGGAGGGGGCGGAGGGGAUGGUUACCUCGGGCCGGGCGCGGCGGGGCGCGGCGGGGCGCGGCGCUCCUGCGGGUGGGCUGUGCCGUGGUGUGCGCGCUAGGGCAUGGAGGACGGCGAGGUCCGUGGGGCGCUUUUGUUCGCUUCGCUCGCUCGAUCGAUCCGUCGCUGUCUUCCUUUUUUUUUUCCUUUUCCCUUUUCCUUUUAACUUUUCUCCACGCGUCUUUUCCUCGGUGUUCGUUCGUUGGAAUAAAAAAAAAAUCGCCGUGGGCCGUCCGUCGGCGUGGUGCGCGGGCCUAGCGCGUGGGGCCCGGUGGCUUGACGGGUGGGGGCGAGAGUCGUCGGCCGGCCUUCCGCGGUGGCCGGCGGCCGUGCGCCGGGGCCGGCGGGGACCCCGCGGCCCGUACGGCGGUACACGCGUCCGGCCGUGCCGUGUACCCCCUACCACAUUGUGUUUUAGUGCAGAAGAAGAAUAUACGUAUGCAUGCAGGGACCAUUUUCCACGGUGAUCCCGUCGUCUGGCCGUUACUGCCGACGGUGCACCGCAUUAUUGAUUCAGAAUAUCGUGUAGAGCGUGCCUAAAAUACAACUACUACUACAGUACCGCUAAAGUGCAUCUAGAUGUGUCAUAAGUAUCGCACGCACAUCUUCGUCACUUGGUUUCUCUUCCCAUGUCUACUGACGCUGGCCUGGUCGAAAUCGUAUGGCAAGUCAGGCAUCGCGCACAUAAGUUGUAAUUUUGCGUUAGUGCAUCCAGACCAUGCCACCUUAUCAUUUUUGGGGAAUCAGCCUGUGCAUGUCGAUCGCAAUUCAAAUUGUUUGCGUUCAUUUUCGUAAGGCCAUGAAUGGUACACGUUUCGGAUGCUUGCGGCAAAAAUAUAUAGCAUCUUUCAUAUAUUUGUUUGUUUUGUUAAAGCUGGUGUCGUGUUAAGGUUGAUUUAAACCUUUUCUUUUUUUAUACCCGCAAAAGAAAGUGUUUUCUCUUUUAACACAUUAUUAUUUUGCCACAUGCUUUGUAAGUUUAUCGUUUCUAACAUUUGCAUUUGUUUUUCAUUAGAUUUUUAUGUUUCCAAACAGCAACUUAUACAUUUGUUAUUAGUUUUUUAUGUUUCCAAACACCAACAUAUACAUCUGUUUUAACACGGUUCCUGUGGCAAUUCACAGGGCAUCGUCUAGUUUCCCAAACAAGCGAGGUUAAAAUCUUUGACCUUGUAUCAAAAACAUUGUAAAAGUGUGUGGUUCAUAUGCGCGUGAGAUACCUGUCAUCUGGAGAAAAAAACAAUUUUACAGGCAUCGCAUCGCCGACAUGUGAUUAUUGUUGUUGAUUACGACUUGCUUGAGGUGCCGGCCCAUUUUUGCACCUAAACAUUAUCACAAAUUUGUAUUUGGCGCGGGCGGAUGUGGACCAUUUUCCCAGUGAUAUGUCAGCCUCACCAUGUCACAUUAUUAUUUGGAUUAUGUCGUAGUAUUUUCCCAAAAGACAAGUGAGGUUACAUCUUAGAUCUUGUAUGUCAAAAACACUGUAAACAUGUGGUCCAUGGGCACGGCACUUUUCACCAAGAAACCUAAUUUAGUUGGCCUCACCGACAUAUAAAUACUUUUUUGAUAACGACUUUUUCUUUCUUGAUAACGACUCGUUAGAGGAGCCAAUUCAUUAUGCGGGCUUCACAUUCUGGCACUACAACUACGUAAUAUUUUUUUUCUUGAAAACAACUCAUAAGAGUAAGUUGUGAUCAUCGAUGAGUUUAUGGGCUCUCUACUCGUCAUGGUGAAUCUACUAUAUCAAAAUAGAAGCCCCCACUACGUGAUUUUCCUGCCCUCACAAUCAGCCGGUCACAAAUUAGUUCAUUCGUUUGAUUAAUCAUGGAUGGACAGAAAUUAGUUGUAAAUUUGCAUUAGUGUAUCCAUGCAUGCCUUUUUUGGGGAAAUCAGCUCACGCAUGUCGAUUGCAAAUGUUUGCGUUCAUUUUCGUAUGGUCAUGAGUGGUACAUGUUUCGGAUGCUUGCGGCAAAAUAUAUAGCGUGCUUCAUUUUUUUUGUUAAACAUGGCAUCACGUUAUAUUAGAUUUAAAUGUCUUCUCUUCUUUUCUCGGUGCACGUUGGUUCGGAUUAAAAAUCUUCGUGGCCCUUUCGUUGGUGUGGUGCGCGGGCCUGGCGCAUGGGGCCCGCUUGGCGGGAGAGAGAGUGUGGAAUCAGCCGCCCUUCCACAGUGGCGGACGGGGACACGUUGCUCGUAUGGCGAUACACGCGUCCGGCCGCUGUGGGUCCCAAAUUUGUAUUUGGUAGAGAAGAAUGGACAGGUAGUGAUCCCGUCGUCUAGCUAUUAUCAACGAUGUGCCGCAUUACCAAAUUGGAAUAUUUCUCAAACAAGUGAGGAUGAAAUCUUGGAAAUCUAAUUUUCCAGGCAUCGUCGACAAGUGAUUUUCUUUAUUGACAAUGACUUGCUAGAGGCGUCGGCUCAUUUCGUGAGCUUCGAAUUAUCACGGACUGUAAUAUUUUCCUAGUGACAUGUCAGUCUCACUAUGUCGCAUUAUUACUCGGAUUAUGUCGGAGUAUUUUUCCAAAAGGACAAGUGAGGUUACAGCGUGGGUCUUGUGUGAAAGCACCGAAAACAUGUGUUACAUGGGCAAGACACUUGUCACCAAGAACAUAAUUCAGCAUGCCUCGCCGACAUAUGAUUUAUUACCUCUGUUCAGAAAUAACUGAUGUGGUAUUAGUUAAAAUUUAAACUAAAAUUCCCUCAAACAAAUUAAACUAAAACCGCGUCAAUUAUUUUUGAAUGAGGGCAGAUAAUGACUUGUUAGAUGGGUCGAUUCAUUUUGUGGGCUUCAUGUCAUACAAGAAAGAAUCACGCGCUUUGUCGUGCCGUUCUUCAUCAUGAGUCAAAAUUUCCCCAGGAUUGGUCUCUGGUUUGUGGGCUUCUAACUCGAAAUUUUUCCUUGAGGUGGUGUCGUCCUCCGCAUUUGUUAGAGGUAGGGUUUAGACGUGAGAAAAAAGUCAUCUAUAGUAGCAAUUCUUUUUUGAGAACUUAUAGUUACAUACGACACGUGUUUUAGAGAAAAUUCACACUCGCGCUGGCCAUAGAGCCCCAGCAGCGCAAAACUUAUCACUGUCAGGCUGCGACAGGACGCUUUUAGCGUCCAAUAGCACUUCACCGCCGGGUACCUUAUAUAUUGGGAUGGCCCAUUAGCAUAGGUUGGUCAGAUGUUCUUUUUCCCUUUAUUUGUGUUAAAUUUUCUUCACUUUUAUUUGCUUUUAAGAAAUGACUACACAUUUGAAAAAUGUUCAUGUGGUUACAAACUGUGCUCAUGUAUUUAUUUAUUUUGAACAUUCACGCAUUUAAAUAUUCACAUAUUUGAUAAAAUGAAUUUUGAAACUUGAUCGUGAGAUUUAAAAAAUGCUCAUGCAUGUUUUGAUAAGAAGUGUUCGUGUAUUUCUCCAAAACAAUUGUGUCUGUGUGCCGCGCGUGUGUUGUUUAACAAUAUUUCAUAAAAGAAGAAAGAAAAAAGAAAAAGCUGAAGCAAAAAAUAAAAUGGAAUGAAGUUAAAAGAGAGAGAAUGAAUCAAGUGAUCUUAUUGAUACGAAGGGUAUAUAUCCAUAUUGAGGGGUUGCUUCAAGACAUGGCAGUACAUGUUAGGUGAGAAAGAAUGCGACUGUUUGGGUUGAACACACCCCUUUACCAAUGACGUUCGUUAAUAAUAUGUAUUCAUAAGCACAAGUUAUUUAUAUCUAACAUUUUUCUUUAUUGCAUCAGAUUUGCCUGCCUCCAUUGUUUGGGCAUUUUGCUAUUGGCUUUUUUGGCGCCCUUGUUGUUUAUCGGCUAGAUGUAUCUUUUUGGCGCCCUUGUUGUUUAUCGGCUGGACGUAUCUUUUUGGCGUCCUUGUUGUUUAUCGGCUAGACGUAUCAUUUUUUUGGGUGGAGUUACAUAGCUGGAUCUGAUGUCAAGAGGUGGUGGAAGUGCUAUACGUAGCUGGACUGCUAUCUUUGGGGAAGUGCUAGACGCAAGCCACACGAACACAAGGGCUACACACUAUGACAUGCCGACAACAUAGGCCCUCCCGCCUGCAAGACUCAUGACCCACUAGAUAGCUUUAUUUUAAGAGAGCUUAUUAUUUUUUAGAGAUGUUUCUUCUUGAAAGCACCUCAUAAGAGUAAUUGUGAUCAUCGAUGAGUUUAUGCAUUCUCUACUCUUCGUGGUGAAUUUAGUAAAUUUCAAGUUAUAUAUAUAAACAAAACUGCGAAUAUCUAGAGAAAUGUGAAGUGUGAGGUAUCUCUCUCAAUAGCGGCUUGCCAUGUACUUCCCGUGGGCAACACCCAAACGCCCAAACCUUAACCACUACUACAUCGAUCUCAUGUACUCUUGUGGUAGUUGUGGGUAGGGACGAAGCUAGAAAAAAACUUAGCAGGAUCAUGUCUAUGAUAGUGGGGUCAUCAUCUAUAAAUGAAUAAGGAUUAGUACUAAAUUAGUGAAGGAUUUGCUAAUUUGAUUGGGUCAACUGACCCCAUUGCUUACAAGGAAGCUCCGUCCAUGGUUGUGGUUUGUGGGAUGCACGAUAGACUCCAAAGGACACACAUGCAUCAUUCCUAAUUUGAAGGAUUGGCCUUGAAAAGAGUUAUCGAGGUUUUGUUCACCAUUGAAUGAGUCAGUCAAAGGCAACACGCUAAUAUGAUCUUCUUCGUGAAAAAAUUAUGAGAUUUCCAAAGAAAUAAAAGCAAGAAAUUUUAAAGAGCGUUGAUGGAGGUUGGAAGCAAUAGGAAGAAGAAUGGACCGGGAUCCAUAGGUUCACUAGUGGUUUCUCUCCAAAAGAAAUAGCAAAGUGUGAUGAACAAAUACAGCUGUGCAUCGAUUAAAUUACGGUUUUUAUGAGUAUGGUUAUACAUGGUAUAAUUGCAUAUGACCAUCACGUCCAAACAUCUAUAAACCAUCAUCCUACUACAUCUACAGCUAAUACUCCAUCCCAAGACCAUUAUCCAACAUGCAUCUCAAAGUAUUAAGUUAAAGAAAUAUAUUAUUGCAUUAAGUAUGAUGACACGAAGUGACACAUUGUCUUCACCCUGCGUUCAAAAGGACAACUACGCAAUCAUAUUUUUUAUCCGUAAUGGCAACAAUAAAAUACAAUGCAAACCUUUUCCACUUUCUAUCACUGCAAUAGAUUACUUACAAGAUUGAACCCAACUAACAUACACAACUUCCUUUUGCAGAUCAUCCAUCAAACUUGGCCAAAGAAAUAUAAAUAGAUCGGUGAGCAUAUGUGAGUAAGAAUUUUGCAACAAAGAAACCAAAUUGAUCUCAAAAGAAUUAAUGGAUAGAUCUGGUCAUACAGUGACAAAUCAUCACAUGGCAACAAUGCAUCAGCAAAUUACAUUGAAUGGAUCACAAUCAUGUAGGGCAGCUCAUGUGAUAUUUGUAUUGAGAAGCAACCGAGAGAAAAACCAACUAGUUAUUGAUAUGGAUCCAUAGUCCAAAGAAAACUACUCACGAGCGAUCAUGGUGGCCUUCAAGUUGAUGUAGAUGGACAUUGAGAUGAUUUCCUUCUCCGACAGAGCACCGGAAAAGGCCUCUAGAUUGGAUCACUUCAAAACAGAGAGGUGCGGUUGUGGAAACAGAAAGACUCCUCAAUGUGUAGGGGUUUUGGAGCAAACAAAAAAUAUACGUUUUCAUAGCCACAAGGGGACCACGUGGUUGUACCACGCGGCCACCUUGGCUAUGUGGGGUCCUAGAUGGGACUCAAGUCCUCCGGAAGCUUCUCGUUGAAAAAUAUUUUCUAGAGUUUAUUUAAGGAUUUUUUGAGCUCUAUAAAAUUGAUGUUCCUGAAAGUCCAACAACAUGCAGAAAACAACAACUAACACUCCGCACUGAGUUAAUAGGUUAGUCUAGAAAAAUAAUAAAAGUUGAUGCCAAAUUAUGCCAAAAUGAUAUAAACCUAGCAUGAAACAAUAAAAAAAUAUACAUAUCUGAGACGUAUCAGCAUCACCGGGUUGAAUCCAUACUUGUCCUCUAGCAGAUAGAUCAUAACAACAUAAAUUUUGAUUGUAAAUGCUACGAACAUGAAUUAUAAUCAAUAUGAUGCAAUUUAGGUAUGACUGUAAAGAACAACGAUGCAAUGCAACAUUUUGUAGUUGAUAAAAAAGAUAACAUCAAAAAGUACAAGUAAAAUCACUCGCUUUUCAUGGAUCAAUGCUUUCAUAUCAAAUUCACCAAUGCCAUUUAUGUUUAGAUACAAUGUUAGGUGUAUCAUGAAACCAUAGUAUGCUAAGUCUUAAUUGUAUCAGAAACAAUUUUACCAUAAAGUGGCCAGAGUGUUGGUCAAGCACAUCAAUUACACAAUCUCGUGUUUCAAUUAAUCUAGAGUUAUGCAUUUUCUAGGGCGAGCCUUAAUCUUUACACUCAAACGGAAAAAGGAAUAAUCAUGGAGGUUAAUAAGUCGAAAAGAAAGAAAGUAUGGCAUCAACGCGACUGAUCUUUAGGUUAUGGAGAAGCCAUAUAAGCGAUGUUGAUGCACAGAGUAGCGAUUGUCAUGCAACAGAUCCACUAAAGCUAUGAAUAUAUAAAAGCUCUCCAAAUGAAUUAGUGGAGAUGUGCACCAAACUUCGCUUGUUUAUAAACACAUAAAGCGUUUGAGAAAGCUCAUCCAACAUCGCUGGUUCUACGGUGAAAAAUUACCAACUAACAUGUAAACAUGAAGAAUAUGAAAUGCAAGAAUGGUGCUAGUUUGAAUAAUAUGCAUGAAGCGUAUGCAUGGUAAUUUAAAGCACUAAGGGCAUCUCCAACGCAGACCCUCAAACUGCCCGCAAUCGUCCGAACUGCGUGGUCCAGGCGUGUUGUGUCAUCCAACGCGGGCCUGUAUCAUUCCACACAUCGGUUCAUACAUGCUUUCUCCNNNNNNNNNNNNNNNNNNNNNNNNNNNNNNNNNNNNNNNNNNNNNNNNNNNNNNNNNNNNNNNNNNNNNNNNNNNNNNNNNNNNNNNNNNNNNNNNNNNNNNNNNNNNNNNNNNNNNNNNNNNNNNNNNNNNNNNNNNNNNNNNNNNNNNNNNNNNNNNNNNNNNNNNNNNNNNNNNNNNNNNNNNNNNNNNNNNNNNNNNNNNNNNNNNNNNNNNNNNNNNNNNNNNNNNNNNNNNNNNNNNNNNNNNNNNNNNNNNNNNNNNGGGGGGGUUGCGGGAGUUCACACAGCAGCCACGUAGGACUCCGGCACCCGGAGCCCACGCCCCCUCCCGGUCCCAUUUCCUUCCACUCUACCCCUUCUCGCCCUUACUUUGCAUCCGCGCCCUCCAUCUCCGUCACCACCCUUGUACCUCUUCGGCCGUCACAGAGGCAUUGUCGGACGUCCACAACCAGCACUGACGCGCACGCCCGCUUUUACGACGGUGUUGCCCACCCUAGAGCCGUUUGUACCUAGGUACACUCCGCCCCCUGUCGACGACCUCCAUGACGGACACCACGCCCGAUAGGUGUUCGAUCAAAUGCCAUUUAGCUUAAUUUCGAAUGCCAUGUCAUUCUUUCGGAGUACGAAGGUUGGCGGGGUACUCGACCGUGGAGGAUGAGUUGUUGUGCGAUGCAUGGUUGGUUGUAUCCAUCAAUUUUGUAGGCAGGAGCGGAGGAGGACCUUCUGGCAGCAAGUGCAUGAAUCGUUUCGCGCGCGAAAACACAUUGCUCCCUACGACAUGCACAUCAUUUAAGAACACAAUGUGAGGUCGUUAUCAUAUCACUAGCACGGUAUCCAGACCAGCGUCACCAAGUUUUGUCGCGUGGUUGAUCAGCUGGAGGCAAGGUGGCCAUUGCACGCAGCAGAGGAGGAGUUCGUGAGUUUUGCUUCUUCUUGCUCGACUUGUUUAAAUCAUUCAUUCACUUAAUGCUGGUCUACAUGUUCAUUUACUCAAUGCUGGUCUACACAUUAUGUAGCCCGCUCACGUUGCCGUGAUGUACCACAGAACAGAGGGACGGCCAUUUAAGUACACAUUGUUAGAUAAAGUUGAAGGGGCAGUAUAUGUGGGACGACGUAAUCUGUUAAUGAAGCUUAUUGGACAUCCGGUUAAGAUAUUGUUGUACUAGACUUAUUUGGAUGAUUGAUUUGUGCUAUUUUCAAUCCAAACUGGAUAAAUGUCGGCCGAUUUGCAUGAAUUUCAUCCGGCUGAAGUGUGUAUGCAGGCAACAUUGGAUGAAAUUUCAUCCUAUCAAUUUGCAUGAAUUUCAUCCUGCUGAAGUGUGUGUGCUAUCUUGCACGAAUUUCAUCCGGCUGAAGUGUGUAUGCAGACAGCAUUGGGUGGAAUUUCCUCCGACUGAACAAUCAGUAUCCACAGACUACGCCGGAGUAUCCGCAGACUAUGCCGGUAUCCGCAGACCAUGCUAAAGCAAAUUUCAAAUUUACGGGUCAGUGGUGUUGGAUGAAAUUUCAUCCGGAGACUAUGCCAGAGCAAAUUUACGGGUCAGUAGCGUUGGAUGAAAAGAAAUUUCAUCCGGCUAAACGAUCAGUAUACGCAGACUAUGCGGAGCGUAUGCCCUAAUGUAUGAAAUGCAAAAAAGAAUAACGACCCUUUCAAGAAAAAAAAAACGUUGGAGUUGCUGCAAAAAGUAGUACUACUGUUGCCUCCUCUCUCUCCUCUCUGUGCCUCUUUCAUUCCUCACAAAGAUUGGAACAACACCGAACAAUAUACCUUAGGCUGUUAGGCAUGUGUGGUUUCUGUAUUCUCCUGAUCCAAUUUGUAUGCCCUAGAACAUCAUUGUGCAGUAAAGCUCUGCCACUCGCUCAAAAAAAAAAAAACAAGGGUGAAGCGGCCAGCAAGCCAUGGUGAUGUAUAUUGUUGCCUUGCCUUGGGAGAUGGUUUCAAUCCUGCACCUGAUGUGCUUGUUUGUUUUCGCCUCCCGCACGUACGUCUGUACUGCUGAUGUGUCGAAGUUUGAUGGUCGUUGCGAAGCCACCGCUAUUUUCUAGCGGUGGGAUAAUCGUCUUACACGUUUCGCAUUCAGCGAAGACAGAAUCUGAACUUCGUUUCAAAAAAGGAAGACGGAUUCUGAAGUAUUCUCGUACGAAGGAUGAACCAAAUGGUGAAUUAUCCUCGUCGAUAUCAAAUGAUCGGCAGCGUGUAGUAAAACAGCAGAAACAUCACACACACACAGGACACACUGAAGCAGCACAGAAGCAAAUGCAUGGACAGACGAAGCGGCCCGGGCCUUUUCUUAUUCACAACUCGGUACUAAACCGAUCGAUCGGACGAACACGAGCAGUACUAAAACAGUAGAAACAUCACACACACACACUGACACGCACGAACACACACACUCGCUCGUGUAGACACGUACGAAGGCACUAGCAUACAUAGAGCAGGUAGCAGACGACGCGCGCGCGCCCUGCUGCGCGGCGCGGCCGACUGGCAUCGGCCUGCUAGCUCCAGCUUACGACGACGCCCUGGUGCCGGUGCCGGCGCCCGCUCCGCCGGUGGCGCCGGUGUGGCCGCCUCCUCCGGCGCGCGCCUCCUCCGCGCGGCUCUGGAUGGCGUGGCCGGCCUGCUGCGUCUUGUGCCCCGCGGCCGCGGCGGCGUCGGCCAUGCGCUGGCGCGCCUCCUCCACGUAGUCCGGGGUGCGCUGGAACGCCUGGCGGGCCGUGUUAGCCAACACGGUGAGCGAGGAGAGGCCGCCCAGCCCCAGCGCGCCGGAGGUGAGGAACCCGGUGACGGCCAGGCCGAUGGUGAGCGCGGCCGGGACCAGCACGGGGCUGAAGAGCAGGAACACGGGCGUGGCCACGGCCAGCCCCACCACGGUGCCCGCCAGCGCCAGCCCCGACAGCACCAGCAGCAGCCCGCCCAGCGGGAACAGCGUCGCCACCGUCAGCGCCUGCGACGCCGACGGCGCCUUCUCCUGGAGCAUGCCCUUCAUCUGCUCCCCCAUCUGGCGCCCGUGCUGCUGCUGCCCGCCGUGGUGCCCGCCGCCGUACUGCCCGUGCUGCACCUGCACGUAGCCCCCGCGGUCCGCCAUUGCUCCUCCCUCGCUUCGCUGCGUCCGCCGGCGGUGAAGUGAACCAAGAUCUGUCGAACUCAAGAGCUGGAGGUAGGGGAGUGAAGUGAAGUGAGUUGAG
Molecule: long non-coding RNA, 51947 nt
Filed under: Triticum aestivum (bread wheat)
Lineage: Eukaryota; Viridiplantae; Streptophyta; Magnoliopsida; Poales; Poaceae
Description: long non-coding RNA (TAES_LNC004023)
Source: RNAcentral